This 72055-nucleotide long non-coding RNA is filed under the name Lotus japonicus. Its description in RNAcentral is "long non-coding RNA (LJAP_LNC001937)". Lineage: Eukaryota; Viridiplantae; Streptophyta; Magnoliopsida; Fabales; Fabaceae. The record is from RNAcentral.
AAUUAGAUUUCCCACCCCCUGUUUUAGAUUUUCCACCCCAUUUAAAAGUGGGGAAAAACCAAUAUUGCCCCUCCGUGUUUUAGUCCGAAACUUCAACCUUCGGAUCAGUACGAAACUUCAUCCUUCGGAUUAGUAUGAAACUUCAACUUCCGGACACCUCUGACAGAUUCUACCACCUUUUUCAGCACCAUUACUCCAUAGCUUCACCUACCUCACCACCAUUAUGACCUGCAUAAACUCCUCAACCACCCAACCACCCCCCAUUUAUGGCUGAACACACUGUUUGGAUUGGUCCUCGUGUUAUUACCAACUUUGAUUUAACAGACAUAACAGAAGAUUGAUAAUAUGAUUCAUGUUUGUAAUGUUGUAACCAUGUCUGUAACCAUAUUAUUAGCAAGAAUAUUUUCCUUCAGUAUUGUAACGAGGUCUGUUUGUCCCAUAUUAUUGUCACUGCAUUUUCACGUUUCUGUCUUUGUGACAGUAUCUGGUUUGAAAGAUCCGAAUCUUGAAGUUUCAUAUUAAUCCGGUUUUUCAACUCUCGGACGUCUAAAAAAGGGGGGUGGUAAAUUUAAUUAUGAAGCAGUCCGAAACUUAUAGUCCUGGAUUGAUCCGAAACUUAAAGUCCUGGAUUGAUCCGAAACUUAAAGUCCUGGAUAGAUUCGAAACUUAAAGUCCUGGAUAACUCUUACCAAGCAGCAGAAUGCAGUAAGUUAAGACCAAACCAAAAGGCAUAUUCAUCAAUUACAAUCUCAACCACCACCACAAUUACAAACCAAACAUUUCAACCCAACAAUUCGUUAGGCAAGUCCUCCAAGACGGCCACGACACCGAUCAUGUUAUUUUAACUGUAACUAAAGAAUCCGAACUUUUAACUCUCGGACUAGUCCAGAACAUCAACCUCUGGACUGGUAUGGAGGUUUAAGUCCCGGAGGGUAGUCCCGGCAUUUUUUUAAAAAGGCUAAGGUGGCAAUUCUAAAACAGGGGGUGGGAAAUCUAAUUCCCAGGCCUACCACAUUCCAAAAUCAAAAUCUUAAGGUCAAUUAUGUCUAUGGUCUAGUAUGCAUAAUCAUCAUUGAGGUGUAAAGUUACGAAACCAUCAAUCCAUUUUAGGAAACAAUUCAAUUUUAGUCCGCCGACCACUUUACCGGGUCUCUAGUCAGAGCGAGUAUAAUUUCUAAUUAAAUUAAUUUUAUAUUAUAAAUUACUAAAAGUUUAAAUUAAAUUAAUUUUUUACUGAAAUAAACUUGGUUUCAAUUUUUCUAUUAUAUUGUCAUCUACAUCAUCUUCAAGAACAUUAAUAAAGAUCACUUAACCCAUAAAUGAUUCAAAAAAAAAACACUUUCACCUAAUCAAUGGAACCAAAAUAUGAGCAAAAGUCUGAGACAAAACUCAAUUGAGAUAUGCACCCCAACCUUCGCUCCGUUCUCCUUCCCAAGUCCCAACAACUUAAACCAACACCUUUACUUGCCCAAAACCGCUACCAUCACAAAAACCACCCCACCUCAUGUUAUCCCACGAAUGUAUUGAAAAAGUCCUCUUAACAUUAUGUUUUUUAAGGAGAAAAUUGAGUUUAUAUGAGGAGACAUUUCACUUAUUUCAAAAAAUUCUCUUAACAUUAUAUUUCUCGGUAUUUUUCAUCACAUCAUUUGCAUAAAUAAAUAUUUAUAAUUGGCUUAGAUAUGAAUGAUUUUUUAUAAAUGAAUUAAAGAAAGACUCUAAUACCAAAUUAGAAUUUGAUUUAGACAUAGCCUCUCCCUAAAAGACAUAUAAUUAUUCUCACUAGUAACCUUACCCUGAUUAUUUCAACAUGUUUUUGCUUAAUUACUUGACGCAAACGGGAAACCAAACAAUUAACAACUCAUUGAACCAGCAGGAAACAAAUAGACUUAGAAAUAAUCCUCUUAACAUUAUGUUUUUUAAGGAGAAAAUUGAGUAUAUAUAUAUGAGGAGACAUUUCACUUAUUUCAAGGACGGAGGCAAACAAUAAUGUUUAAGAGUCCUCAUUUAUAAAGUACAUAGUACAUAUGCUCCUAAACUCUUUCUGUAUUUUUCAUUUAUCCUCACAUUAUUUCAAAAAAUAUUUAUGAGCAACUCAUCUAAGAAUGGUCUCUAAUAAAUAAAUUUAAAAAAAGAUUCAGAUAUCAUAUUAUAAUUUAAUCUAGACAUAAUUUUAUCCUAAAAACUAGUUCAACGGUGAUGAUUAUUCUCACUGGUAACCUUACCCUCAUUUCAACAUUUUUUUUUGCUGACUUUGACGUAAAUGUGAAACCAAACAAGCUAAAGUCAUUUAAUCAGCAGUAGCACAUAAUUGAGCUAGCGAUACAGGUGUACAGUAUUGGCCAUAAAUCUUCCUGAGAACCAUUAAUACCAAUUAUGCAGCAUCAGCGUUGCAGAAUACAGAUAGGACUGGAAAUGAAGACGUGGAGUGAAAUGAUCACGUGGUGAAUAAUGCAUUUGGGUAAUAUGAACAUUUGAUGGUGUCUCAUUAUUGUUGUGGCUUAAAUCAGCAAAGGCAUCUUUACAUGGAGCCCUCUUAGUUAAUGCAGAGCGUCUACUACAAAGGCCCACCACCAGGACUCAUCAUUAGCCUUGUGUUGUGCCAACAAACUGUCUACACUCCAAUAUUAAAGAGUGUUAAUUAGUACUAGUACUACUACUACCUUAACUUGUUUUGAUUUCUUCGAUCGUUUGUAUUCAAAUACUAAACGCUUACUUUUCAAAUUUGAAGUCUCUGUUUUGUUCCCCACUAUGGCUCCAAGGAGUGACUAGUGAGUGGCUACACUUCAGUCUGUUCGUACUUACUAGUAUUCACAUAUUUAGACUGUGUUUGUUUUACCGUUGGGAGCGUUCAUGGAUAAAUUUCAAGACAAAAUCAACAGAAUGUGCUUUCACUUCUGUUUUCAAUUGAAAAAAAUGAGUUUGGGCUCGAGUAACUGGGAACCAAAGAAAUUGACCACUUAUUGGGUAUCAGAACAAUAAUACUCUAGCUUUGGUAUGCGCAAAUGCUUAUGCCUAGAGGUACAAAUAAUUCCAAAUGUAAACCUUUUUGGCAUUUGGUGUGUUCUUCAUUUACGAUAAAAUAAGAGAGUCAAUCGUUUACGGAAUAUGAGAUCGGAUACCAUAACAUUCAUAGUUGGUUGGAUGGGAAAAAAGCUAAAUACCACGGUCCACGACAAGUUUAAAUUUCCAAAUUCCAAGUUAAUAAUACAUCUUUUUUUUAAAUAUCUAAUUUUUUUCUAUAUCUACCGCUUCUAAUUACAUACACCAUAUCUAUGACAUCUAUCUAUUUUAUUUUAUUUUCUUUCUCCGGAUUUCUACAUGGUUAGAGCAUCUCCAAUGGUAGUAUCUAAUUUUAAAUACAUACUCAUAUGAGUAUUUAUUACCAUUGAAGUACAUAUUCAAUUCCAACAUGACAAAGAUGAGUAUGUGAGAAUAGAUACUCUAAACUAGACUUGAAAAUUGAGCUUGUAUUUUUUUGGUCUUGACCAAGGUAUCCCCACAGCCGACAGUCGUGAGACUAAUCCCUCGCCCCACGGUCAGCGCACUAAGCGGUAGGGGGCUGACCAAUGAUAUAAUGGAUGUAGAUGGUUAAACCGGUGUAGGAAACAUUAUGUGAAUAAAAAUAAAAGAAAAUCACAAGGGAAAGACAUGCUAUGGAAUGUGAAACACAAUGCCACAUGCCGUGUCAUCAGCAUCCAUUCUCUGUACUUCUUUUUCCUGACUAUUAAAAGUUGAAAGUAACCAACAGCCUGUCGUUAUUACACCUUCUCUUUCCUUUCUCAAGCUAUGCAUACCAGGAAGAACCCCUAUAUUUGGAAAUAAAAAUUAAAAAAUUCAAGCUAUUAAAAUAUUUAGUUGAACUUGUUAAACUGAACACAUCAUUCAGACCCUUUUUGUGUUUCAUUGCUCGAGCUUGUUCUCUCUCUCACUCUCUGUCCACCCAAGUUUCAAGUUUUCAACUUUUAACACAUUGUCCACAGUACUCCUCCUGUCUGCACAAAUCCACAAGUUCAUCUUCACUAGUGGCUAAUAAGGUAUGUUUUUUGGAGAUUCCUUCUUAAUAUGACAUGCAAUCCUAUCUCUUUCUGUCAUUAUUUUUCAAAACCAUCAAAGAAGGAAAAAAUUACAUUUCCUUAAAUUCACUGUCCAGUGGUAGUAGUGGUAGCGGUGAGAGGAAGCAUUAAGCAUCCUCCUGCUGCAAGUACUAGUCCUUUCCAUGAUUCAAUCUUUUAAUUAAUAUUUUCUUUUUUCUUUUUUAACAUUUAGUUGCUACAUAUGCAGUUGGUAACCUUCUCUUUUGCAACUUCCAGUUUCCUUGGAACUCUAUCUACUUGGAUGCUAGGUAGUUAGACAUUAAUUAUGAGAUUUUUUUAACACUCUUGCUGCAGGUUUCUUCUCUCCCUCUCUCUCUUUUCCCUAAUAAGGACAAACAAGUUUCUAAAAUGUUUGUAUAGAUGUGCCUAUUUUAGUAUUUUAUAGCUGUGUUUCUUGAUUAAUUUUCUCUUUGUAUUCAUUCAACUUAGAAGCAUUCUUUGGGCUGCAAAAGUAGUGAUUAUGGAAUGGAAUUUGAAAGCAAGUUCUUGGGAUUUGAGUGAAGUGGAUCAAGCAGCAACCAUACCCAACAUAGAAACAGUGGAUCAUGGUUCAAUUAACAGAUUUGGAGUUUACAGAACAAAAGGGGAGUUUUCUGUUGACUUGAAGCUUGGUCAAUUGGGGAAUUCUAGCAAUGAAUUGGUGGCUGCCAAGUCCAAAUUAGAUGUUGCUGCUGGUGGUGUCUCCAAAAUGACUACUACUACACCUUCUUCAUCAUCUUCAGGAUCAUCUAAGAGAGCUAGAGCCAUUAACAAUGGGACUCAGAGAGUGUCAUGUCUUGUGGAUGGAUGCCAAUCAGAUCUUAGUAAAUGCAGGGACUAUCACCGGCGCCAAAAGGUCUGUGAGCUCCAUUCCAAGAGAGCACAGGUCACAAUUGGUGGCCACAAGCAAAGAUUCUGCCAACAGUGUAGCAGGUGCAUGUAUCAUAUGAAUCUUUGUGUUUCAAUGCAUGUUUAGUUUCACGAUUUGCACAAAAUAUAAGACAAAGUUACUAAAAAGCUAAGACUUGUAGCUUCACACCAUAAGUGAUUCUGAAGCAUUUUAGUGCGGAACCAAUCAUGCUAUCAGCAUAUGAAUAUCAUAUUUGGUUCCAAGGUAAAACAGUCUAUAAUCAAUUCUGGCUAGAAACUAUAAAUCUUAACUUCCUAAUAAACGGAUCUUGAAUUCGAUGUAAAUCGCCAGAUACAUGAAAUUGUUUAUUUACAUUCUAGUAUGCUUUUGAUUUGUCCUCUUAAUGUAUUUUUUCUUCUCUUGUUGCUGUACCUAGUAGGCAUCUAUGUUAUGUGCCAAUAUUCAUGCUAACUUCACAAGUAGGCUCGCUAUAGUUACCUUCUUAUGUUAUUUUUAGCAUCUUAAUCUAGUGUUCAUAUAGGAAAAGUAGAAGCACAGUACUUUACAAGAAAGGAAUCCCAAUAGACGAAGCCUAUAUUCUGCUAAUCCCCAGCUAAAAUUCCUGAAUAUCUUAUAUGGUUAAUUUAGUUUGUAUAGUCUUUAAGAGACCACCCUCUUUCAAGUCCUAUAGCUUUACCAUUAGAUUCUGCAAUAUAAACUACUUCCCACACACACACACUUAGUAGAUUGCUCGACUCUUUAAGCAUUAAGUCGAGUUUUUUAUUUAUCUUUGGAUGAUGUGUAUGAAGAAUGAUUUGUUAUGAACGACCUACACGUUUAAUCUGAUCUCAGAGCUUUAAGAGGAUUAGUCUCAUAGCUGUCAGCUGUUAGGAUAAUCUUGGUACACACCAAAAUAGAUAAAUAGAGAAAAAUAAAGUUUCAAAAUUAAAGAGAAAGUUCAAAACAGCAAUAGUUAUGAAACAAAGUAGUACUUGGCUUGGGUUCUUCAUUAAAUUCUGAAUCUUUCCUUUGUGUAGGUUCCAUUCACUGGAGGAAUUUGAUGAAGGAAAAAGAAGCUGCAGGAAGCGCUUAGAUGGUCACAAUCGACGGAGGAGAAAGCCCCAACCAGAACCACUCACGAGAUCUUGUGAUUUUUUGUCCAAUUACCAAGGUUAGUUUCCAGUACUUUGUAGCUACAUUAUCUGAGUGGACCCAUUUGUUCCCAGAUUUGGAGCAGACACUUGCUGUGUAUCCCCACAAAGGUACACAAAUCUUAAAAGAGAAAGAAGUAACACAAUUACACAAAGGCACACAGCUAGCUCAGUGUGCUGCCACCAUCCCUGAUUUGGGUCCACUGAUGUGUCCUCCCUCAUGACAAUCUAGUGGCCACUAAAAUAACAUGUCAGUACUCACACAUUAACAGACACAAACUGACAAAAGGCUUUUGCUUUUGAGAGAGGGGAGGCUAGUGUGUCAUGUCAUUUGUUCGUUAACAGUUGUCCAUUGCUUAGAUAUUUCUUACACGGUUUGGACUUUGGACAUUUCUUCACACACAUCGAGUGCAAUUCUUGGUUAGGCCUGGAUACCUAAGGUAGACUGUGCUUUUGUACAUCUCAAACUAGGAUUUGAGUGUGUUAGACCAAGACAUUACUUUGAGGUAGAGAUGGGUAUAUGGGCUCAGACUCGCAAGUUGGUUGGCUCGCGUAACUCGCAGCUCACCCGGGUUUUUUUUGUGUGUCAACGGUAAACAUUUCAUUGAUAGCAUGGGCCAGGCCCAUAACCCAAGAGGGUAGUACCACUGGUUGGGCAAACCUAUAGAGAAAUACAAGUAAGUUUCUUACACUUGAGCCCAUGACUCCUAUCUACACCUAACCCAAAGUUAGAACUAGGAGGUUAAUGACAACUACUUGCAAAAACAAACAGGCCCAAUAGCUCUGAGCCCAAGAAGAAUGGGCCAGACAAACCUUAGCCUUCAGGGUCUCCAAACCCUAUCCAGGCUGGUCUAAGUUCAGAUUUUUACCGGUCCUUUGAUUUAAUGGGUUGUGGCUCCUGGGCUCCAUUAAAAUUGUAAAAUUUCUAUUAAUGUGUUAGUUUGUGGGAUAUAUUUAAAGUGUUUUUGAUUAACUUGACACAUUUCAUAAAUUUUAAGGAUUUGUUACAAUUUUCUAGUAAUUUUAUUAAGUGGUAUGUGCAUUUCAAAAAAAAAAAUUAAGUGGUACGUGGGUCAAAUUGUCGGCCCACGGGUUAAGCGAGUAGAGACGAGCCUACAGUGCAGGCUUUUCUAGCUUGAUCAGUUAAUUAGCGGGCCUAAAUAGGCUUGGCUGGCCCAUUACCAAGCUCUACUGAGAGUGUUUUCUUCAUAUAUUCAAUAAUCAUAAAGUUACGAGGUUGUCUAACUUAUCUCAUGAGAUUAUAUAACUACAUCACACGUUUAAGAGUUUUACACACUUUUCACUUGAAUUCUUGUUAAUAAUAUUACUGGUCAUAAUCUCAUGACAUAAAUUAGACAAUCUCGAGAAGUAUUAUCUUGUUUUCACUAUUAUUUCAUUUAAAGUUUUUUUUACACAAGGAAAUAUAUAAAGUAAUAUUUUUAUAGUUACUAAUGAAACAAAAAAAAAAAUUCGUUAAACUUGAAUGUCUCUCUCUAAGUACAUGUCUAGAUUGGGUUGGUUUAUCUCGCUGGGAUCUGUUUAGAUGUUAUCUGGUAGUGGCUUAGGAACUGGGCAUAAGCUAGUGCAGGGGAUGGGAAUGUAAUAUGUAAUUGUUCUAUAUUGAUGAGAAUGUAUAAUAGCUAUGAAGUGUAGACAAUUAUUCAUCUUGGGGUUGGAUUUGUGUGUAUGUUAUCCUUUGACUAAGUAUUGCUUAACCUACUAUCUUUAAUGGGAUGGGGUACCUUUGCUCUCUUUAUAAUUGGAUUUUGCCUAUAAAAAAAUAUGUUUGGGUAAAUGAUGGAAAAUUACAGUGAAACAAUCAUGGUGGACAGAGAAGUUAAUUUUGUCCAUCAUGACCAGACUCACCAUGGUUUUCCACAUGCUCUAAGUAACCAAGGCUACAAUGUAAGACAGUAGAGGGAGUCAAUGUCUGAAUUUACUACUACUUUUAUCAGGCACCCAGCUGCUGCCCUUCUCAAGUCCACAUGUAUACCCUCCCACUGCUGUGGUGAACCCUGCUUGGGCGGGAGUUGUUACUCCCGCGGCAGAUGUUAGGCCCCACAGCCACAACCAACACCAGCAACAAAUCCACAUGGUUGAUAAACAGGACCUUUUUCUUGGAUCUUCUCCAUCCAGCUAUAAAGAAGGGAAGCAAGUGGCAUUCAUGCCAGGUGACCAAAACCCACAUCUUCCAGCUGCUUCCAUAGGCCAUAAGUUUGGCAGGCCUAGCCCUUUUGCAGAAAGUGAUGGGCUGAGAUGCAAAAACAUGUUCUGUGAUAGCCUAACAAGUUCAGUCCAAGAGUCCUCUUGUGCUCUCUCUCUUCUGUCAUCACCACAGGCACACAACACUGCAGGAAAUGGGUUUAACCAAAUGGUGAACCCUCACUCAUCCCUUAUGCAGCCCUUGGGCCUGAGCCUGCAUGAUAACAGCAUGGGGCCCGUGUACUCAGGUUGUGAUGACCAUUGUUCAUCAAUGUAUAACGUGGGUUCUAGUGGGUCCCAGGGGAAUGAAGCCCCUUCAAUGUUCCCCUUUCAAUGGGAAUAGAGGGUUUUAGGUUUUAUCACAAGUACUUUUUUAAUUAUCAACUUAUCUCUGGACAAGGCAAUGAGGACUAUCACUUAGCAAAACAUUGGUGUGAAUUUUUUAAGUGGUGGGGUUGCUACCGUGCAUACAAUCCACUAUUGCAGUACAUUUUUUUCCUGACUGAAUGCAGCACCAUGUUUUCAAAGGGAAGAGUAAUGUCUCUACUUGCACAUACAAUGUCUCUGUAUGGCUUAAAGGACAAAAUAAAUAAAAGAUAGGAGUAAAAUAUGAUUUGCCUCAAGUAUACAAUAAUGAACUAGAUAAGUCGAUAGAGUAAGCUUAUCCAAUACUUUUCGCUCAACAAACACAAUUAAAAUUAAAUAUGAUAGGGCCUGUGUUUGUGUGCUAUAGAUUACUAUUUACACCUGCAUUUCUCAAGGAGUAAUUUGAAUCACCUCUUUGAAUACCGACACAAGAGUAUUCAACGAAAUCCAAACAUUUAUAUAACCAACCAAAAGUUAAUUGCCCAAUGAGAGUUGAUUAACCAUGCUAUAAUAUAUGCUUUGAACAAGAAAAUAACAAAGUACAAAAUCUAGAUUAUGUGAAAAGUGUGCGAAAUAACAUCACUUUGUCAAGGAACUAUAGAGACACUUUCCUAAGGAAACUUCAGCUCACAACUCAAAUGAAGGCGUGCAUCCCUAUUCCUUAUAGCACAUGCCUUGAAAUAGUUGACAGAAAAGGAGAUUGGGAAGAAACCUGGUUGAAUAUACCCCCUCCUCUAUCUCACCUCAGAGAUACUAGCCCACUUUAUAACAAAAAUGAAGCAAGCGGCAUAAAAAGGGUGAAACAGCAAACCCAUUCUAAUUGGGAGGGAAAAACUAAUGUCCAAGACUCAGAUAAUGCAUCUGAUCACAUAUUACUCCAGUCAAUUAUACAGGACAUGAUGUUUUAAGCCAAUACUUUCAGCAAGGAAUACAAAGAAAACACAAAAGCUUGCUCUCUGUUUUAAUUCUUAUUUCCUUACAAGCAAAACGCCAACUAACAGAUACAUUGAAGACUAGCAACAAAGAGCAUUAAACAGCAAUACCCAAGGAUUUCUUGAACUUCUCAACCUCCAAAUAUACUGUAGAAUAGGGAAGGAACUCAUCGAAAUGAUCUCUACUCAGAUCAUUAAUUGCAACUGCAAGUUUGGGGAUUUCUAGGAUUUCUUCAUGGGUCAAAGUCCUCACAAACCUGGCUGGAUUUCCUGCCCAGAGUUCACCUGAUGGAAUUCGCCUUCCAGGUGGAACGACUGACCCAGCUUCAAGGAUUGAUUGUGUCUCCACCAAUGAACCUUCCAUGAGGAUGGAGUGCUGCCCAAUAAUGCACUCUGGCUCAAUAGUGCAGGACCUCAACAGGCUGUAUGCCCCAACAGUCACAUACCUCUCUACUGUGGUCUCAGCUGGAAGGCCUGUUUCAGAGAAUAAAACAUGCACAACAAAUAAGCAAUAUAUUCAUAAAUCAUAAAUAAGCAUAGCCCAUACGCACUUUUCAAGGACUUCAAAUGAAAUUUGGAAACUGCGAUGCAAAUUAAUUCCUCAUAACAGUAAACAAAUGCAAAGAACUGAAAGAAGUACUACUACCGUUCAAAAAUGUUUGUUGUUUUAGCCUUUUCCAUGUUUCCCAAAAUGUUUAUUGUUUUAGCCUUUUCCAUGUUUCCCAAAAUGUUUAUUGUUUUAGAAAUUAAAACAUUUUAUUCCCCUUUUUCCAUUCAUAUAAUAAAAUUUGUCUCACCUAUCACAUUUAAUCUGGAUCAACCACCAUUCUUUUCUAUCUACUAAUGAGUGGGUAUUUUUAAUGUGGAUUAGUUGUGAAAAAUAAAUGAUAUAGGUGAGUAUAAAUUAGGAUAUUUCAGUCAAGUUUUAUAUCAAUACAUGACAUCUUAGUGUGUGUUUGGAUACAAGUCAAAUCUAUACGGAAACUACUUUUUCCUCAAUCCUUAGAAAGAGUUCUGUUCAGUUUGUCUCCAAGUUUUGCAUUAGUGCUAACGGGUACCCAAACAUACUCUUUGUGCAUAACCUUAUAACAACAAACAUUUUGAAACAGAGGUAGUAGUAUGUAGAUAAGUCAAAUGUGCAGUAAAGGCAACUAUAAAAAAUAUUACAUUUUAAUUUUACUUUAAAACACGCUUGAAAAAAAGAGUUUUACAGCCAGAAUAGGCAGAACAAAUUAUAAGAGGGGCACAGCAGGUCUCAGAUGAGACCAUCACAUACAAGUAGAACAGACCAAUAAAAGUGGCAAAAUUAGAAGAACUCCACAAUUGUUUGGGACACAAAACCCACCACAAAAUUCCUAGGUACCAGACUGAAAAGAACAACACAAAAGGCCAGAAAGUAACAUUGCUAAAAAAAUUACAUUUCUCAAACACGAAAACACAAGCAUGUACUCUGAGCUUCUGUUGACAUGUGAUUAAGAUUCAUAGGGUCAUGACGACUCGUGACUUCAUAGAACACUACUCAAAUCAUCUAAAGAUUAAGGCAUUUGCAAAGUGAAAUAAUCAGAACAAACCAGCAUCUGCAUCAAACUCCGGAGUCCAGACACACAUCCUCCUCUCUCUCAAACAAAAAGAAUUAACUAUGUAAAAAGAAAUUGUUGGCUAGCAGAAUUUAUUGAUAUCACAAUAACAAUAUCACCUAGUCCAACCAUGAUCCAACAAGGAUGCAUCAAUGAGAAUAUCAGCAACACCAUAAACACCAAUAACUUAUAAAUUUCUAAGCAGCUCAACCUAAAAUUUGUACUUCAAAGAACAAUAUCAAUUUCCAGACAACAAACAAUAACAAUUUCCACAAUUCACUAUUUCCCAAUUACAAACAAAAUUUCCCUCUAUUUUGAUUUCACAUUUCCUCGGAAACCAAACAAAACAACGAAGGAAAGUCAAAAGCAACUGCAAUUUCCGAUUCGUGAUAGCCCCAGCCACAAUCCCCCCCCCCCCCCCCCCAGACCAAGCGGCGUGAAGAACACACCGUUCCUGAACAUUGGAGCAGAAGCCGAUGCUGAUCUUGUUGAGAUCGCCCCGGAGAACGCAACCCGGCCACACGGAUGCCCCAUCCCAGACGGUGACUUGACCGGCGAGAACCACGUUAGGUGCCACGUAAGCAUCGACGGCAAUCUUAGGAAGCCACUGCCCCAGAGGGAUUAUCUUCCUCUGCCCUCUGUAGUCCCACUUCACCGGAUCCGCCGAAGGAGCGACCGAUUUCGCUGCCUCCGUCGCAAAAGCGCGUUCAGCUGCCGCUAGCUGCGGUUGCGCGCGGUGGUUCGCCACCGCACGUGCGGUUAGUAGGGCUCUCCUCGAGAAACGUGCCAGAUUCGCCAUGGGUGAUGAGCUCGAGCUGUGAAAGUGGAAAUGGAAAAUGGAAGAGUAAAGCUGAGAAAGAGAAAUGAGAUUGUGGGCUUCAAACAGAAAUCGGGUAUUUCAGGCCCAAUUUAAUCGGGUUUUUUGGAUAAUGCGAAAAAAAAAGAAUUACCAAAAAGGGAAAAAUAUUUAUUUACCACACUAUGGUUGUAUUUAACAACGUGCAAGUGAUGUGGCGAGUGGAUCGUGUUUCGCGUCACUUAACGCGAAAUUGAGGAAAUGAUUUGUUCCAUGUGACUUGAAUCAUAAUAAGAGCAUCUCUAAUACUAGUUCUUAGAGUUGAGUUUUUAAGCUAAGAACUAAAAAUCAGGUGUCCAAGUUCUUAUGCAUUGGAGAUUGUUGACGUGAAGUUUUUAGUUCUUAAAAUAAGAACAUGUCUUAAUAAACAACUUUGUUUUCUGAGACUUACCCAAAAAAAAUUGAUUUAUGAGUUUUUAGCAUAAAAAAUACUUUUUCUCUCUCAUCUAAAUUGUUUUAUUACUUUGUGAGUUUUGUUUUAUAAAAAUAAAAAUUAUAAAUAAUGUGGUGUGGUGAGACCCAAUGAAUAGUAUUAAGAACUCAACGUUGAUAACUUAUGGUUGGAGCGAAUUAUGCAAAAGUUGCUUAAGAUUUGUUUAAGCAUAUGUGGCAGUACGAACCCACAUGAACAGUGCGUAAGAACUCACCUCUAACUCUAAGAAUUAGCAUCGGAGACGUUCUAAAACAAAACUUGCUGCUGACUUGAUUAGGGAUAGAGGGAUAUAAACUGAAUUCACGUUGACCGAGGCAUAUCAACACUAAUUCAAGUGAAAUGUAGCGAAUCCAAUUAAUCCAAAUUCGCGUGAAGUGACGUGAAUUCCUUCUCUCCGGCCACGUCACCCCAUGCUGUAAAAAAUCACCCCAUUGAGGUAAAUAAAUUUCUUUUUCCCUUUUUUGAUAACUUUUUUUUUUUUUUUCGCAUUAUUAAAAAAACAGAAAAACAAGUCAGUGUUCAUAAAAAAAGAAUCGCAGUGGUGGUGUUGAAGGUGAAGGUUCAGAGCUUGUGGUAACUGUCGUUGAAGCCGCCGGAGUCUGGAGAAGGUGGCGGCGAGUUAGGAGCACCGUGCGUCGGUUUGGAUGGUGAGGGUCUGAGGGGGCGGAGAAUGUGCUCGAGGAGGCUAAUUUUCUGAUGAGUUCACUUUCUGCAAAACUUGAGAAUGUUGAGUUUUGGAAGGUUAGUUCAUUGUUGCGUGAUUCAGGGAAAUGCAGUUGUGAAAUGCAGCAACUCUCUUAUGAGGUAUCUGAGUUCCGCUUGCGCCGCCGCAUCCAUUCAAGCUGGUUUGCCAGGGGAGGCACACCACCUGUUUGACAAAAUGCCGGUUACUUCUUCUUUUGACCAAGUGGCACUCUUGAAUUCCUACAUGGUUUCCGGAAAGUUGGACGAUGCGUGUCAGUUGUUCCGACAGAUGCGGACACGGAAUGUUGUGGGUUGGAAUGUCAUGAUUUCUGGUCAUGCUAAGAGAGGCCAUUAUUACCAGGCUCUUGAAUUCUAUCAAGAAAUGAGGAAGAAUGGUAUAAAAUCCUCGAGGUCCACACUUGCAAGUGUUUUAAGUGUGGUUGCUAGCUUAGCAGCAUUGGAUCAUGGCUUGCUAGUUCAUUCAGAAGCUAUCAAACUGGGUUUUGAGUCCAAUAUCUAUGUGGGGAGUUCUCUGAUCAAUAUGUAUGGCAAGUGUGAAAUGCUGGAUGCUGCAAAGAAAGUAUUUGAAGCUCUAUCUAACAAAAAUAUGGUCGUGUGGAAUACCAUGCUAGGGGUUUAUGCGCAGAAUGGUUAUUUGAGUAAUGCUCUGGACUUUUUCUUUGAUAUGAUGGUACGCGGUGUUGACCCGGAUGAAUUUACCUACACUAGCAUUUUGAGUUGUUGUGCUUGUUUUGAGUUCCUAGGAAUCGGUUCACAGUUGCAUGCAACUAUUAUCAAGAAAAAAUUUACAACCAAUAUAUUUGUGAACAAUGCAUUGGUAGAUAUGUAUGCCAAGGCUGGGGCUUUGAAGGAAGCCAGGAAACUGUUUGAGAACAUGGAGGAUCGAGAUAACAUUUCCUGGAAUGCAAUAAUUGUGGGAUACGUGCAAGAAGAAGAGGAGACCGAUGCUUUCAACAUGUUUCGGAGAAUGAAUUUACAGGGUAUGAUACCUGAUGAGGUAUCUUUAGCUAGUAUACUCAGUGCUUGUGGAAAUAUCAAGGGACUAGAGGCAGGACUGCAGUUCCAUUGCCUAUCAAUUAAGUUGGGUUUAGAAACUAACCUUUUUUCUGGAAGUUCUCUUAUUGACAUGUAUUCCAAGUGCAGGGCCAUUGAAGAUGCACGUAAAAUUUAUUCUAGCAUGCCCCAGCGGAGUGUGGUGUCCAUGAAUGCUCUGAAUGCAGGAUAUGCUCUGAGAAAUACUAAAGAAGGUUUUAAUCUUCUCCAUGAGAUGAAAACAUUGGGGUUGAAGCCAUCUGAAAUUACAUUUGCAGCCCUCUUAGAUGAUUGUAAAGGGCCUCCUAUGGCAAGUUUAGGCAUGCAGAUCCACUGUACCAUAGUAAAGAGAGGGCUUUUAUGUGGUAGUGAAUUCUUAGGUACCUCUUUAUUGGGAAUGUAUAUGGACUCACAAAGGAUUGCAGAUGGGAAAACUCUUUUCUCAGAGUUUUCUGACCUUAGAAGUAAAGUAAUGUGGACGGCUCUAAUUUCAGGACAUACCCAAAAUGAAUGCAGUGAUGAAGCCUUAAACUUGUAUAGAGAAAUGCGUAACAACAACAUCUUUCCUGAUCAAGCAACAUUUGUUACUGUUCUUCGAGCUUGUGCGCUCUUAUCCUCAUUGCAAGAUGGUAAAGAGAUACAUUCUCUAACUUUCCAUACUGGUUUUAACUUAGAUGAGUUAACCAGCAGUGCCCUUGUAGAUAUGUAUGCUAAAUGUGGGGAUGUAAAAGGUGCUGUCAAGGUUUUUGAAGAAUUGACUAUUAAAAAGGAUGUGAUUUCUUGGAACUCAAUGAUUGUUGGAUAUGCGAAAAAUGGUUAUGCUGAAAGUGCCAUGAAGGUCUUCGAUGAGAUGACUCAAUCACGUGUUACACCAGAUGAUGUCACAUUCCUUGGAGUGCUUACUGCCUGUAGCCAUGCAGGGUGGGUUACUGAGGGUCGUCAAAUUUUCGAUGUCAUGGUAAACUAUUAUGGCAUUGUGCCCAGAGUAGAUCACUAUGCUUGCAUGGUUGAUCUUCUUGGUCGGUGGGGUUUUCUCAAAGAAGCUGAAGAGUUCAUUGAAAAACUAGAUGUUGAACCUGAUGCUAUGAUUUGGGCCAAUUUAUUGGGUGCUUGCAGAAUACACGGGGAUGAAAAAAGAGGACAGAGGGCAGCUAAGUUACUUAUAAAGUUAGAACCCCAAAACUCUUCUCCAUAUGUGCUGCUUUCUAAUUUGCAUGCUGCAUCAGGACAUUGGGAUGAAGCUAGAUCUUUGAGGAGAACAAUGAUGCAGAAAGAAAUCCAAAAGAUGCCUGGGUGUAGCUGGAUUGUAGUGGGGCAAAAGACAAACUCGUUUGUUGCCAGUGAUACAUCACAUCCUUGUUCUGAUGAAAUAUUACAUAUUUUGAAGCAUUUGACAGCACUAAUGAAAGACAAUAGAUACCAAGAAUAUGGAAUUUGCCAGGUUGGUCAAAUUUAGAUAUUCAAAAUAAUGGGAAGUCAAGCAUUCAAUUCAAAUUUGCUUCCGGACAGAAAAGAAACUUACAUAUACUGUUCACCAGGAAAAGGAAUGCAUAAAAGAGAUAAAACAUGGGAACAACACCGACUGCUUGGUUGUUGUUAUAUGUUCCUUAGAUAGUACAGGGUAGGGAUGGACCCAUGUGUAAUUUUAGUGGUGAUGCUCCGCAUUUUCACAUUGGAAUUCUUCUUACCCAGUCAUUGACUGCUUGGUCUACAAGCUUUAGGACGCAGCUCCAUGCAAUGGGUUUAACUGAUGUGCCGAAAGUGGAUACUGAUAUUAGUAUUGCCGCAACUCUAAUGGAUAUGUAUCAAAUUAUGGGAGCCCAGCAGUAUGGUGGUUCUGCAGCUCAGAACAGUGUAUGGCUUAUUUGUGUGACUCUAAAUUCAUGUUAUCUGUUGGACAAAUAUCUAAUGUGCUUAUUUGCGUCUUCUGCUGCUGUUAUGAUAUAUGUUUUUUUGUGAAUGGCAGGUGUUUCCAGAGAGGCAGGGACAAUGGAAAGCAACAACACAAAUAAGAGAGUUUUUGAGAUCCAUAUAACGAUACUAUAGCAAUGCUUACACAGAUGGUAAAAACCAAGAUGCAAUAAAUCUAAAUUAUUCCUUCCUCUUGUUUCUACUUAUUUUAUCUUAAUAAUUUUUGUUUCCUUCCCUAGAAGGAAUUCUUGGCUCAUCUUCAAUAAUGUUAGAUAUUGAGUUUCUAACUUUCUAAUGUUUAAAUACUCUGUCCCCGGUAAAUCUUUUCUUGAACAAGUACGUUGUUCUACUGACAGAUUUUUAGGUUACUUCCAAGUUCCAACCACAGGCAGGAAGGGAAACCUGCUCUCUGGGAGCUUGAUUCAGAUUAUUAUCUCCAUGUAUCCACUAUCCGGGAUUGGGGAUGAUCUAAUUCCUGAGAAGUGGUAAGUCCUUCUUGUUACUUAAUGACUGGUAUUUAAAUCUAUCACUGACAUGCUUCUAUGAUAUGUUAAGUUCAGCAGUGCUAUUCUCAGUCUUUAUAUUUACAUAUAUUGUUAAUUUACUUUCUCACUCUUCAUUUUCUUUCUGAACUUUGCAGUUCUAAACCAAAGGUUUGUAUCUGAAACUUGCAUUAUCCUUGCAAGACUUUGAUGCACCCACUAUUUUGUUCUUGGAUAUUCUGUGUCCCAUUCAGUCUCUUUUUAAAAUAUAGUUUAUUAAUGGUCCAUUUUAUACCUAGAUGCAUAUUGUAUGAAACCUCUUAAAUUUCUUCGUUGUUUGAAUUUUAAGUUGGUCAAAUAUCAAACCAAUCCAUCACACCUUACAAGUUACAACUAAUUAAAUGGCAUUUUUGUUGCGUUGAUUUUUUUUGUUACAAACCACAUCUAUCCUCCGAUGAGGCAAUCAUGUUUGAGCUCAGUAUGACGAUUGUGGAUGGAAAAGUUCUCUUUAUCAAGUAUUUAACGCGCAUUUUCAGUGAAACUCAAACUCGAAACCACUGCUCAAACAAAAGCAAUCUCAGCUAGAUUAUCUACCCAUUUGGUGACUUUAUUUUUCUUUGACUUUGACUGGGAUUUAUAAGGAAAAAAAAUACAAAUAAGGCUUUGAAAGUAAUAGUUUUAAAUAGGAUUUUGAUUCAUUCACACCUAACUCUUUUUUCCAUAAGACACGAACUUUCUCUUCCUAUUUCUCUUGUUUUUUUUUUAUCAGAUCACUUAUCAUAUCUCUCAUUUCUCAAUUUUUUUUCUUUAUCUCUCUAGGUGCAGGUGGGACUAAAGUGUAAAUAAAGACGUAUUCUUAUAAAUAUUUUGUAUGAUUUGUUUUUCUCGCAUGAUUAAUCCGAUGACAUCCAUGUAAUAUGAGAAACUUUGAAGUUUUGGCCUGAGUCAUAUUUAGAUAAUAGGUGUUUUGUAAAAAUGAUGACUGAUGAAGUCGAACGACUUUUACAAAAUAUUAGUAUUAUGAAUGAGACCAAAACAUUUGUUAGUUUGUUACAUAAAUACUAAAUGUUCUGAUCAGGCAUGCAUCAUGAUGCUUAUAUAGCAACAUCAAAGAUUGUAUUAAUGUUUACCAAUUCAGCUUCUUAAAUAGUAGUACUCCUAAGAAAGACCUUUCAUGAUUUCAUACGUAUUUUAAUAUACACAAGCAACCUUUUCUGUGCCAGUAAUUGUUUAUUGUUCAAAUCCACAACCAGCAGGUGAUUCCUUUCACAUCUACAGUAUAAUCUUUUCAUACUAUAAAUAUAAGAUAUAAGAUCCAGCAAGGUUGCAACAAAAGACAUGGCUUCUCAUAGGAUUGGGAUUAUCUUUCUUGUCUUCGUCUGUGGUAUGCAUAUUGAGCUCAGCUUAUCCAGAAAAUAAGUUCUUCUUUUCUAUUUUUUCUUUCCAUGAUAUUAUAGUCAUGGAACAAUUGGUUCCUUUACGAGGAAAACUAGUCGCUGAUCAGAUUACUCAUUCGAGUCAUAUUUUUUACUUAGUUCCAAAAAUUAAAAAAGAAUUGAACAAAUUAACCAUUUUAGUCUGACCCUUUUGUUCAUGAUGCAGGUGCAAUUCUUUUGGAAGGCAAUCUGAAAAGGGUUGAUGCUAAAAUUUGCCCACAAAUAUGCUAUGGUGCAGCAUACAUGACUUGUCCAUCUUCAGAUAAUCAACUCAGUCCAACAUGCAACUGCUGCCUUGCAUCAAAGGGUUGUACACUUUACAAUGCAGAUGGAACUUCUAUUUGCACUGCUAGCUGAAGCAAUGAAUGUUUGUUCACAUGCUCAAAGUUUACUUUAUGAAUUUCAAUAAACUGUAAUCCAAUAAAUUCAACAGACUUCUCUGUUGAAUUGUAAUCCAAUAAAUGCAACAUAGACUUCGCUGGCUCCCUUGGAAACAGUUUGCAUGUUUUGAUAUUCAUUAUGUGAGUCAUAAUAGAUUUUGGCUAAGACACUUAAUGCAUGUAUGGAUAGAUGUUUAUCAAAAUUAAAAGAAAGUACAAUUCAAAAAUAAAGGGGGUGUGUCGGUUUUUUUUCUUCUUUUUUCCAGGUAAGUAAAAUCAAUCUAUUUUUAAUUUGAAAGAAAAUACAAUUCAAAAAUCUUUUUAAUUUUCAAGAUUCAUACAACCCUCUGUUUGGAUGCAGAGGUGAAAAUGAGAGGAAGGAAUAUAAAAGGAAUGAAUAUAAGAGGAAAGAAUAUAGAGGAAAAGUGAAGUGAUUUUGAAGUUGUUUGGAUUGAGAGAAAAGGAAUGGAAAAUGAAAGGAAAGUGAAAGUAAUGUUUAUAUGAUUACUAAUUUAUCCUUUACUUUUUUUCUUUUCUUGCAAAAUAGUGUGGUCAUAGUGGACUUUUCUUACAAAUCUCACACCAGCUUCAUUUUCACGCCAAUAUUGGGAAGAAAACUGACAGCUACUGUUGCAGUACGACUUUCAUGCCAAUUUCCUUUCCAUGCUCGUGCCAAACACAUCAGACCCCAAUAUUCCUCUCAUUUUACAUCCAAUUGUUUUCCUUUCCAUUGAAAAUCACUCGAAACAAACACACUGUAAGGAAAACAUCACAUUGCAGCAGCCAUCGUUUCAAAUGCACCUUCAAUUGCCAUAUUCGUCAUCGUCCCUAUAAUGAUCUCUUCCUCUGGUUCUCUCUUGCGAUUUCUCUCUCACCCUCUCUCUUGCAAUUGUUAUAAAUGAAUUAUUAAUUCUUAUCUAAUUUUUUUUACAAUUAUGAUAUUGCUAUUUAUGUAAAAGUAUUCAAUAUAUUUUGUCUGUAGUCAAAAUUUAAUAAUAUUAAAUAUUAUUUUAAUAAUAUAUAUUAAAUAUUAUUUUAAUAAUAUUAAUUGAUAGUCGAAAUUUAAUAAUAUUAAAUAUUAUUUUAAAUAUGAAAAACUGAAAAGUUUGACAAUUAGUAGUAAAGAAUAAUAAAGUGUCUGUUGUUUUUAUUCAGAUUUUAUUUAUAGUUAUUAAUUCACGUAUUUAAUGUAAAAAGAAUUUUUUUAUUGCCAAUUAAUGUAUUAAUUGUAAAAGUUUAAGUGAGUUUUAGGUGUAUAUAUAUAUAGUGAUAUGAGAUAUAAGGUCCACCAAGGUUGCAACAAAAGACAUGGCUUCUCACAAGAUUGGGAUUAUUCACAAGAUUGGGAUUAUCUUCCUUGUCCUCGCAUGCGGUAUGCAUAUUGAGCCCAGCUAUAAGUUGUUCUUUUUUUUCUUUUUCAUGUUAUUAUAGUUACAGGACAAUUUGUUCCUUUACGGGGAAAACUAGACUAUGAUCAUUUAGAUUGCUCAUUCGAGUACUUUUUUAAUUUGACCCUUUUGUUCAUGAUCUAGGUGCAAUUCUUUUGGAAGGCAACAUGGAAACGAAUGAUGAUAAAUAUUGCCUAGGUAUAUGCUAUGGUGCAGCAUACAUGACCUGUCCAUCUUCAGGUGCUAAACAUCUCAAACCAUUAUGCAACUGUUGCCUUGCAUCAAAGGGUUGUACACUGUACGGAGCAGAUGGAACUCCUAUGUGCACUGCUACUACUUGAAGCAAUGGAUGUUUGUUCUUGUGCUCAAAGUUUACAUGUGAAUUUCAAUAAACUGUAAUACAAUUGAAUUAGCGUUUUGCAGAACUAGUAAUGACAAUGACAUAGUAAUGAGUCUACCUAGGCCUCAUUUGGAAACACAGCUUAAUUAAGUGCUUAUGGUGAUAAGCGCUUAUGACAUAAGUGCUUAUUCAUAAGCUAUUUUAUUUUAUUUAUUUAAAUAACUUAAAAAUAAGCUAUAUAAGUAUAAACUCUUUUUCAUAAGCUAUUUUGAGUAACUUAUGAAAAUAAGCUCAAAACAGCUUAUGGUACGUCAUAAGUUGUUUGCAUAAGCACUCCCAAACACUGACAUAAGAGCUUAUGCUAUCAGAUAAGCUCAAAUAAGCUCUUCCAAACGGGGCCCUAGUUAUAAAGCAAAAAGCUAAAAAACACUUUUGAAAUCUUCACACAAAGUACAAACAAUGUGAUCCUUAUCUUAUCCCUAACAACACCACCAAAGUACAUACAUACAGAUUCAGUACAAACAUACUACUAACAAGGAAACAUAGAUCAAACAUACAUACUAUAAAUAAAAUCAAAAUACAUUUUCAGAUCCCUUUUCUCUAUGUUUGUUUACCCAGUGUUGAUGUGAACGCCAAUGGCAAUGACGAAGAUAGUGAUGAGUCCGAAGUAGAUGAUGGCGUGAACCAGAAUGGAAACACCACUUGUUUGCAUGUUUCCGAACUCAGCCACUCUUCCACUCGCCGGAAUCUGAAACAACAGCCCUGGGCUCAACAGCACGAACAGCACCACCGCUAUCACCACCGGACCCCAAUCAGCCAUUGAAGGAACCCUAGAAAUUGCAAGAAGUGACGGUUUCAAUUUUGAUUUGGGAAUUUGGGGGAAAACAGCAACGUAGUGAGUGAGUCACUCACGUUUGUUCAACAUGUCUGUAUCAUUUUUAUUGUGAUUUGGACGGCUCUGAUCUCGUGCCUCGUCACAAUAGGGAUUCGGUGAAUUGAGAUUGAUUUUUUUUUCCGAUAAGCGUCUGGUACCCAAUCACCCUUUGGAUGCCGCCAGAUUCAGGAUUUAAUCACUCACAAACACAGUUAAGGCUCAUCAUCCAUCUUCUUCAUAGUGUAUUGUGUAGGAAUCGAACUUCAUCACACACUCACUCUACGUUGCAAACUGAGCUACCCCUAUUAUUGAAAUGAAAUGAAAUUUAGUACUACUACAAUACUACUUUUUUACUCUUUUUUUUUUUUGAAAUUUGUUAAUCUCGAAAACAGAUCCAAAAACAGGUCGGUAUGGCAGCACACUGUUUUGUGUUUUUGUUUUGUGGGCCUGGCUUUUCCUUUUUUCCAUGUUAUGAUGAACAAGUUUGGGCCUUGAAGAACAUUGAAUUGGGCUUGCACACACGUUAUGACAAUUGUAUAUUGUAUACUCAUAUCACCAUCCGUUACGCGAUUUUCGUGCCGCUAUGACCUUCAGUGUUGUGACCAACAGCCGAUCCGCUGCUAUUGUGGCGCAAUGGCAUGUUAACCAUGUUUGAAAUAUAUUGGUGAAAUGUACUAGCUCCGAGAUGAUAUGCAUGUUUUCAUUAAAUUAUUUCAUAAUAAGAACUCAUUGACAUAUAGCCUUUGAUGUACUUAAAAAGUUCUCAUAUUCAAUUUGAGACUGGGAACAUGGUUCAGUAAAUGGAAGCAUAGCCUGUUAAUUUUGCUUAUCAGUAAAUGGUGCAGGAAAUAUAUUUUAUUUAAUGAACUAUGUAUAGUAAAGCAAACAAGCUUAUUCCUUGAUUUUAGUUUCAAAAUAUGUAAGUUUUGAGUAGAUGUUGUAAGAAAUCUUGUUUUCUCAACAAUCAAGUUGGUAUAAGUGAUGAGAGAUCGAUCCCUGAACAUGAAAUAUUAUAGUUGUUGUAUAUAGAUCAGAUGAUUUGAUUCACAUUUUGACAUAGGUACAAAAAUAUUGUGACAUGUGUAGCUUUGACAUUAAAGCCAUUCAAAUCGGCUUCAAGUUCUCCUAUCCCAUCACAUUACCUUUUUUCACCAAGCUACGUACACAACGUUCCUUCUCUAUCUCUCUUUCUCUCCCACGGGCUGGUCAACGGGAAUCCCCUUCUCCGAUCACAUUCCCGACCACCCCUGCCCCCGUUCUUCCAAACCCAAUCAACUUGUCUCAUUUUCAUAGCUACUCUUACACAUCAUUACAAUUUUUUUGGUGUUAAGUUUCACUUUGUGAGUUUAUAAUAACUUUUGAGUUUGUUUCAUUAUGGAUUCAUUUCUCUUCCAUUUUGAAUUCAAUGAUUUGUUUUGUCCAGGUAUUUUAUAUAACAAGGUUAUAAGGAGAAAAUGUCAAGUCAAGGUGGUUCUUCUCGAAUGAGCAAUUCAUUGUCGGAUAGCCCACGGAAGAAGAAGGUCACUGAGUUUACAACGCUUGACCUUGCCGCUCGUAAAUCAUUUACGCCUAUGCGCACGUAUGCUCUCUUCUCCAAUUCUUCUUUAAUUAUUCUCAACACUUCUUAUGAUAGAUUUGUAUUUUCAUGUUCAAGGUACUUAUCUAUGAUAUUUGUUAGAAUGAAAGUUACCUUCAAAAUGUCAAUGUCAAAUAAGUGUUUUCUAGCAAAGGUGAAAUGAAAAAAAAUGUCUAGGAAAUAUGGCUUAAUCUAAUUGAUUCAUUACAAUGUUGUAAAUAAGUAAUUAAAUCACCUUGUUAUAUCAUCUUAAUAAAAAAAUUUGUGAAUUGUGGUAGCUUCAUGUGAAAUAUUUAAGAGGAGAAAAUGAUACAUUUAUCUGUUUAGAUCAGGGGAUGAUGAUCAUGUUUUUGUUAUGAAUUGAAUUAGGGGAGAGAGAACAGUGAAAUCAUUGCGGCUCUCAAAGGCAUUAACAAUACCUGAGACAACAAAUGUUUAUGAAGCAUGUCGCCGGAUGGCUUCUCGCAGAGUAGAUGCUUUAUUACUAACUGAUUCUAAUGCUUUGCUUUGUGGGAUCCUCACAGAUAAGGUAUUAUUAUUUAGUCAUCUUUUCAUGAAUCACUAGAAAUAAAAAGGAGAAAUUUUUUGGAAUAAGUGGGACUUUUCUUCUUCAUUUCUUGUAGUUUUAACAUAUGUAACUUGUUAUUGUCUCUUUGUUUUUGGUUUAAGGACAUAGCGACAAGAGUUACUGCUCGUGAGAUUAAUCUUGAAGAGACACCAGUUUCCAAGGUUAUGACAAGGAAUCCAGUAUUUGUCCUUACUGACACUCUUGCUGUGGAAGCCCUCCAAAAGAUGGUUCAAGGUUAAUAGUACACAUAGGCUAUGUCAGUUUAACAUGUCUAACUGAUAAGUUAGCUGAAAACUGAAAAGUUCUUAGCUAGUUGUUAUUUGUUGUAUCCUGCCCUUUGAAUACAGUGAUGAUUUAUUUAUAUAGGAAAAUUCAGACAUUUACCUGUGGUGGAGAAUGGAGAAGUUGUUGCCUUACUUGACAUAGCAAAGUGUUUAUAUGAUGCCAUUGCUCGAAUGGAAAGGGCAGCUGAGAAAGGAAAGGCAAUUGCAGCAGCUGUUGAAGGUAUCGAAAAACACUUGGGAACAUCUGCUACUGGUUUGUAGAGUAUUUUAUUUUUACAUGUCUAACUUAUUUGGAUAUAAUUAAUUAGAUAGUGUUUUAUUUAUUUUCUUAAUUAAUUCUACUAACCUAGUUUCAUUUCAUGCUAAUUUGUUCUUUGUAUAGGUUCCAAUUCAUCAUUCAUUGAGACUCUUCGGGAGAGGAUUUUCAAGCCAUCAUUGUCUACAAUAAUUCCUGAGAAUUCAAAGUAGGUAAUACAUUUUUUUUUUGCUUGAGAUGAAUAAAAAUUACCUUAAUUAGUUGUAACUUUUGUAUGUUUAUUCAUCCCAAGUUGAUUCAAAUGAUAAUGACACUUUUCAGGGUUGCAACUGUUUCACCAUCAGACACUAUUUUGACAGCAACAAAUAAGAUGCUUGAAUUCCAUGUGAAUUCUGCUAUUGUGACAGUUGAUGACAAAACUUGUGGUAUCCUUACGUAAGUGUGUAGAGAAAAUUUCCACAAAUCAUCUGAUUUUGAAAAGUCAUUCAUUGUUAUCAUCAAAUUAACUUUGAUGGACUAUAUAAUUAACUUGCAUUCAAAUUUUAGUUCAAGAGAUAUCUUGAUGCGGGUAGUGGCACAUAAGCUUCCUCCAUCGUCAACUCUUGUUGAGAAGGUAUAAUUGAUGUUUUUCUUUCUAUGUAACAUAAAAAAUUAUCCUUCUUAUAUCUCUUGUCCUUUCUUUACAAAUAUUGAAAACCAUGUACAGGUCAUGACUCCAAAUCCAGAAUGUGCUACACUUGAUACACCAAUUGUUGAUGCACUUCACACUAUGCAUGAUGGAAAGUUUUUGCAUCUUCCUGUGGUUGAUAGAGGUAAUAGAAUAAAAUAUGAUAUAAGUAACAAGUUUUUAGGCUGCUAUUUUUCUGAAUUGGGUGGUUGAACAGAUGGCAUUGUUGUUGCUAUGGUUGAUGUGAUCCAUAUUACUCAUGCUGCUGUGGCGCCAGCCAGUAAGGUAUACUCCAAAUUAUGAUACUAAAUAUACAUUUUUUAGCUGCAUAUGACCUAUCUUUACUAAAUAUUUGCUAUGAUGAUUUCACUUUUCUCCACUAAUUAGGUUGGAAAUAGUGCAAAUAUGAACAAUGAAGCUACUAGCUCCAUGAUACAAAAAUUUUGGGAUUCUGCGAUGUCCUUGACUCCGAAUGACGAUGAAGAAGAUUCACAAAGGUUAUAUGUGUGUCGAUGUUUGUAGGAAAAAAAGUGAACUUUUAAUGUACUUACACUUAAUUGAUGAUUUUCCAGUGACAUUUCCACAAAAAUGAUUUCUGAGGGAGGAGAAACAGGGAGAUCUAUGUCUUAUCUUGCAUCAAGCACAAAUAGCGCAUUUUCCUUCAAAAUACAAGAUAACAGGGGAAGGUUACAUAGAUUCACAUGUGGUAUGUCAACAUUCAGACCUCUACUUUAAAAUUCUUUUUAUCUAAACGAGUAAUUUUGCACAAGUCACUUGUUUAUUGCCUAAAGUAACUAUUUCAAGUUAAUUGAUUGUUCAAUAAAAUUUGUCAAUUGAGUGGUUUGUGUAUUUGAAUGCAACUUUAGAUACACGAAGCUUAACAGAAGUUAUAGCUUCCAUUAUUCAAAGAGUCGGUGCUGAGGAUUAACCCCGAUAAUAUACCCCAAAUAAUGGCAUCAUUUGAUUAAUUGAUUGCAUUAUAUCUUUAUUAGUAAGCCAAUAUUUCCCCAUUCUCCUGAUGCAAGCUAAUCAAUUUUAUGUAGUACGAAGAUGAAGAACAUGAUAGAGUUGUACUAGCUUCUGAUGGUGAUCUUGCUGCAGCUGUGGAACAUGCAAGGACAGCUGGUUUGAAGGUAUGAUGGAUCUAUUUAUUGGUCUUGUAUCUUGAGAAUUGAAUUUAUCUUAAAGGGGACAGUUAUAUAUAUAUAUAUUGAAGAGACAUGGACUUGGAACAAUGUAGGUUAAUGUUUGAUUUUCAUUGAUGAAUUUCGUAGGGAUUGAGGUUGCACUUAGACUACUCAGGAACACGUGAUUAUGGAACUGAUACAACAUUAAGAAGUUUGGAAUAUGCUAACUCAGAAGUAUGGGCCUCAGCAUAUAGUGUUGUUACUGCUGGAGCUGCAAUUAUUGCCGGCAUAGGCCUUUUGGCUUUGUUGAGACAAAGAUAAUGAGAGAAAGAACCAAGUUUUUGUCUGGGGUAAAGGGUAGAGCUGAAGUUAGUUAGAACUUCGGAGGGGCACACUUUUUGGGCUUGCCAAUCCAUAAGUUCUAACAAUUUGUACAAAUGGGGAAAAAAGCAAAAGCAUUUAUUUGUGCUAUCAGCUUAUAAACAUGUAUGCAUAUAAUUGUUUGCUAGCUGCAUGUAAUUUUGUAGCUCAAGGUUUCAUAACUCAUCAACUCACGAAAGAACGACAUAACCAUAUGUCUCUUUUAUUCUUGUAUGACAAGUUAAUGAUAAACCAGAGAUCAAGAUUAAGUUGAUGAGAAAAAAUGAGUUCUGCAGUUUACCAUAUAAAUGUUAAGUGCAAGUAGUUUAUUUUGAUUUGUUUAGAACAAUAAGAUAAACCCAUGACAAUGUUGCAAGUUUGUACUGUUUUUUAAGAGACAAUGUUACAAGUUAGUGAGUUACUCAAAUCUUCUUAAAAAGCUAUAAUCUUCGGUAUAUUAAUAAAAAUCAAAUCGCAAGUAUAUUUGUUUGUUUUAUAAGAACGAUUAACUCAUUUGGUGUAUUCCACUAAUAAAAAUGUGACAUGUCAAUUGAAAAAAGUAUGAAAUUACAGCAUAACUUUACAUGAUUAAUUUUUAAAUAAAAUGACACAAUUUUAUUAAAGAGACGGUGAAGAAGACACUAAAUCGGCCCAAAUGAUUUCAAGCCUUACUAUUAAAGUUAAUAAAUGUUGAUAACUAUAAAAAGAUAUUUUGAAGGAAGGUAAAGAAGACAAAAUGUUACGAUAAAUCUCAACAAGAAAGAUACUCAAAUAAAAUGGAAAUAAAAAAUAUCUAAGCUCAUUAAGGAAAAGUAUAAAAAAUAUGCGAAGAAUGCAAAUAGGCGAAAAACCUCUAAUCAUAUAUGAUAAUCCAAUCAAAAGAUUCGUCAUCAGUCACCUAGUUGGCCCCUGAGUGGGUUUUACUAUCCGGGUGUGGUCUUUUUCUUUAGGAGGAUUCCUAAUUGUUGAACUCUAUAUUCGUUUGUUGCAAGCUACUAUUACUUUCUGCUGCUAAGCAAUUUGAUAUUUUGAUUCACUUUCCAUCGUACCCAUCAUUAUAUCAUUUCGUUGCUAAAGUUCAGUGUAAAAACAGUAAACUUACUAUGUUUCCUUAUCAUCUAAUCUUGCCGUGUUAAUCCUUAUUUGAUGUCCUUUAUAUCAAAGUUGAGUAUUCUAUUGCUGUGCAUAUAUCAGAAUGAAGUUGACAGGUAGGUUACAGAGUACUUGGUUGCAACAUUUGGUGAUACUUUCAUUCCCUGAUAUAAAGGCUAUGUUUGGCAUGUUUAGCUGAUAAGUUAGCUGAAAGCUGAAAAGCUAGCUGAAAGCUUAUAAGCUAGCUGAUAGCUGAAAGCUGAUAAGCUAGCUGAAAGCUUAUAAGCUAGCUGAUAGCUGAAAGCUGAUAAGCUAGCUGAAAACUGAUAACUGAAAACUGAAAAGCUACAUGAUUAAAACAAAAGUGUUUGGAAAAACUAGCUGUUAAACAAGCUGAAAUUGUAAAAUGACAUAAAAGGACAUACGUGUAUAAUUAUUUUUAUAUUUAACAUUACUUUAUUUUAAAAGGUUUCUGAUUAUCUCAGUAACUUUGUUUUAUUUUCUUCCACACGAACCACAUUUUAUAAAAUUUUGGAGAACUAUACAUAAUUUGUUCGGUUUUUGUUUUGAUUGAAUUUUGAGUAUUUUGGACUGGUUUUUCAGUUUUAAUUGGAUCGCAUGAUGAAUACCCAUAUAAAUAAAUCCAGCUGAUAUGACCCAAUCUUUGGUUGUGAUCAUCAGACUGUAUAGAAAUAGUUCGAAUUAUUCUCAAGGAUUUAUACAUCAAAGCGAUUAGACAAAUCACAAGUCAUCAAAGGGAUGAAUAGCCUAUUUGUAUGAAAAUAUUGGUAGGGGAAGUACAUAAUUCAAGGCUUCCCCGAGUAACCCCAUGGAUUGUUCUUUGCCCAAUUCCAUUGGUCCCUGCACAUCUCUUCUACACCAUACUUUGCCCUGAACAAUAGAUCAAAGCGAACAACAUCAAAACAAGUACAUGAAACACAAGGUGAAAUGAAAGAAAAACCUCUUCAACUUGUUUAUGUGCAACCAAUUUAACCAGCUUGCUAUGUGUUACUAAUCAGUUACUUACUUCCAACUAAGUUCUUUCUCAGCUUUCUCUGUAGAUGCAUAAACCUCUGUGGCAUCUCCCGGCCUUCUUGGACACAAUUUAACAGGAAUUUUCUGAAGAUAUCAUAUAAAUGGAAAAAGGUAAAGCUUCAGACAUAAUUAAUUUCAUUAGUUUUUGUAUGCGCACGUGCAGAAUUCUACAAGUGUAUCAGGAAGAUUUAUAAUUACCUUGCCAGAAGCUUUCUCAAGUGCAGUAACCAUUUCAAGCACAGAUGUACCCCGACCAGUUCCCAGGUUAUAAGCAGUACAACCUGAGGACCAAUUUGUCACAUUAGCAUACAGAAACUCAAGAUAAUCAAUCUACAAUUGCUAGAACACUCCGAUACAAUCGCUCAUGAUCAUGUUGCAGUUCUAGUAAAUGCCUAAUAUUCUAACAGAUAACAAGUUUGUUCAUAUGGAUAUAUAAGGCUAGGUAAAGAACAAAUUACCUAUGUUCUCUGUGGUGAAAAGCUUUCUCAGAGCUGCAAUGUGACCAUCUGCUAAGUCCAUCACAUGGAUAUAGUCCCGGAUCUUAUUUUGCAAAAGAUAAGAGAAAGGAGGGUAAGCAUUUUGGCAGGAGUAAGAAAUAUAUCUAUGCUAUUAUUUGCUUGACCACCCAACAAUUUAUCCCAACUGUGACAAUGGCUAGUCUGGUGCAAGUAUAUGUUUUUAAAAUAAUUAUUAUCAAUUAUAUAGGAUGUUAAUUGUGUGACUUUCACGCACCGCAGAGCCAUCUCUUGUAGGAUAAUCAUGACCAUAUACAUUGAGUUCAGGUAACCUUCCAACAGCUACUUGCUGAAUGUAAGGCAUGAGGUUAUUUGGGAUGCCUCUAGGAUCUUCACCAAGUUUUCCACUCUCAUGCGCCCCUACUGGAUUGAAGUAUCUCAAUAAAAUGAUCUUCCAUUCUGGCUCAGCUUUCUGGAUAUCCCGGGCAAUUUCUUCCAGGAAAAGCUACAGUGAAUUGAACUCAAUUAGUGUCAGAGCAAACAGACAGACAAAGCAUUAGAACCCAAAAGCAGGUAGUUAACUCAAGUACUCAACUACUCAAGUAAGUUCAUUCAUACUUUGUACAAUUGCCAACAUCACACUCAUAUAAAUUAUUGAAUUGAAAACAACAAGCCCCCAACACAAUAAAUUAAUAAAAAGUAAUCCAAAACAAUCUAAAGACAUGUUUGGUUUCUCAACUUGCAACAAAUAAAGGCAAAUUUACUCAGGACAUAACACAUAAGAUCAGUAGCCCCCAAAGGUUAGCUCAAGUAGUAAGAGUUAGGGGACAUAAGGGUUAGGUGCGAUGAAGGAUGAAGGUUGAAGGGUCUAGGGUUCGAACCCGAAGGAAAGACUAAUUUACUAUCAUUACUAACAACUAACAUUUGCCUAUAAAAAAAAACAUAAGAUCGGUAGCUUUUAACAGAAAAGUGAUUCUAAAGCAUUUUACGGCGGAACCAAACAAACAUCCUAUAGAAGUUACCUUGGUGCGUCCAUAGGGAUUCAUGGCUUGUAAAUCAAAAUCCUCCACGCAAGGUAUCUUUUGAGGUUGGCCAUAAACUGUUGCAGAUGAAGAGAAAACCAUCUGUGCAGCAUGAACACAUAUACCAUAUCAAUAUGAAAGACACUGGGGUUAACAUGAAAGAUGAAUAUAUAAAAUGAUCUACAAAUAUUGAAGUCAAAAUAAAAAAAAAAUUAAUAAUAUGGUCAAAAUAUUGAAGUUUGAUACCUUUUUAACGUUAUACUUGGCCAUAGCUUGAUAGAGAUUGAUGGUGCCAACGAGAUUGAAAUCAAAAUAGCGACGGGGAUUAGCAACGCUUUCUCCAACCGCUUUUAGCCCAGCAAAGUGAAUCACAGCAUCGAAUCUGAUCCAUUUCAAAAAAAAAAUCAAUUAUACACUACAAACUUUACUAAUCAAACAGAAACAAGCAAAACAAAAAUCCAGAAAUUCAAUUGAUUACUUUGUUUUGGAGAAGAUUUCCUCCAAGUCAUCCUUAUUCCUGAGAUCACCCUGCAAAACGAGAGCAGAAAUGCACAAUUUAGUGAAUAUACAAACAAUUUUUUGAAUAUUGAAAUUGAUGAAGGAUGAAGAAUUAAAGAGAGACCUACCUGGGUGAAUUGGAGGUUUUUGGAGAGGUGAGGGCCAACGACUUCACGGACACGGUCGACGGCUUCCAUGCAGGAAUUAUCGAAAUUGUCGAUGAUGGAGACAUGGAAGCCGUCAUGGAGAAGCUGAACCACCGUGUGAGUGCCGAUGAAGCCGGCACCGCCGGUGACCAGAAUCUUCUGCUGCGGCGAGGAUGAUGAUACCAUCUUGUUUGAAUUUGGGGAUAGAAUUUGGUGUGUGAGAAUUUAUAGGGAGCGAGAGAAUUGGAAGCACGAGAAAUGUGCUUGCUUGGGUAAUGAAAUGGAAUGAAUUAAUUAUUUUUAGGGAAUGUUAAUGUUGGGGUUGUUUUAGUGUGUUCUUAUCUUUACUAAUUAGUAAUUACUCUCAUUAGUUUAGAUUUGGCGCGCGCUUUUUACCUUUCAUUCUUCAUAAUUAUUUUAUGUUUUGCGCGUGGGUCCCCAUGUUCAGUUUUUGGGAUUUGGAUUGAGCCGCCACGUCAUCUCCCGUCAUGGGCCAGUUGUCAUCUUCAUCAUCAUCUACUCUGUUGAGUGUAGAGUGCAAGGGAGAUGAUACUGAUAAAAGUACAAACGCUCAUUUAUUAGCAAUGAAAACUAUUAAAAUAUAUCCGAAAAGAAGUAAUAUAGUUAAAUAAUUUAAAAUAUUUAUUUAAAUACUACUUUUAUGAUUUCUGAUAUAGAAUAAAUGUUCAAUUUUUUUGUUUCGUUACUAUAAAUUUUAAGUUUUAAUUUUGUAUUGAGUAUUUAUUCUUUUUUAAUACUUGAAUUAAUAUUUUAAGGAAAGUGAAUGAUGUGAUUUCAUCAGUGCUGCUAAUUUAGAGUUUUCAAUUUUCAAAUGGUUAUUUAGUUUUUUUUUGCAAUUAAUUGUGUUGUUUGGAUUUAGGAUGUUUAAACUACAUGAGGAGUGAGGACAAACAUGGUUACUUGUCUGAAGCAUUUUGUUUUCAACGUUCCAGGAUAAGAGGUUAGAGGCAGCGUGUGCGGGCAACCUUGGGAUGCAGAAUUUAUUUUUUAUUUCUUUUAAAAGAAAAAUUGUAGUACUAAACUUCUACUAAGAUUUAUUAUUUUUACACUAUCCCCUUUUAGUGUUUUAAUAACCACUUCUAUUUUAUCAGAAACAUUGCACUACCUCUUAUGAGAUUUACCAUAACUACAUCGACUUCCGGCCCUUAAGUUUUAUGAUUGACACUCUUAUGUUGUUCUAAAUGAAAUAUGAAUGAGAGAAUGUCAAUACAUUUUUGCAAAAUUGAGGAGAGAUCAAUAUAAAAAUGACAUUUAUGUGUUUUUUUUUUUUCAAUAGAAUAAGUGUGUGUUGGAUAUUGUUUUAGGCCAAUGUUCUCUGGAUCCACAUUCCAUGGACUGAUCUAACCCAUUAUCGCCACAACCCCAAAGCGGGCUAACGGCCCAUUGUUCGAAUUGUAACCUUAUUUUUGAAAUUGAAUUGUAACCUAAAUGAACACAUUGUAUUGCCAAUAAAAUUAAAAAAUUUUGUAGUCAAACUGUUUUCCACACUACUUUUACACUGCUAGCAUAGCUUUGUUUUUAUCUUGUUGUAUCACUCGGCUGUGUAUGUUCAGCUUUGUAUCCUUGUGUCUUUGGGCCUUUGGCCUUUUUCAAUGAUAAUCUAUUAUUGACAAAAAAAAAAAUUGUAGUGUGUAGCCAUGUGGCAAAGGAAGUAAGCACACACAUCAUAUGAAUUAUCAGGCGAUGAUGGCACAACUAAUCGUGCAUGUUGCAUAUAUUAACUUUGUAAUUUUUUUUUUCCUGUUAAACAUAUGUUCCUUCUACCAUUUCUAUGAAGCCAUUACUAAUUCAUGCAAUUCUUGCUUGAGAUGGUCAGCUAGGAGUUAUAUCAGUUUGGUAUUUCUAUUUAUUUAAGUGUGGGCAUGCAUCAUGCAUGUGUCGUUGGUAGGGUACGUAGGUCAAUCUCCGAAGAUAUACAUGGCUAGAAACACCGACAAUCAAUUAUAUAUUUUAAUUAUUGCAAACAAAUGUAUAUACCCUUAGUAUAUUCCAAUCCUCUUUAUGCAACUACAAUUAUAUUCACACUUCUCUACUUUUUCCAAUUAUAUUCCACUCAAUGCUACUUACAAAUAAAUAUAAAAUUAUUCAUACAUGUAGUGUUUAUGUUUUUGAGAUAAUUAGUUGUUUGACAUUGUAUCAGAGCGUUAAUGGCCCAGUGGUUUAGAAUUCGAUUUUAAAAAGUUGAAUUUAAGAGUGAACAUGUACAUUAUCCACGCAUCAAGCUCAAAUAACUCUUACGUGAGAGAACGUGUUAAAAUAUAAUAUAAAAUCAUUGGUGUGACCAUUAUUCAGCGGAUAAUUGGUUUUCAUAUUAUCCAUAUUCAAUUUUCUUUUUGUGGAAAUACGCAUUCAAUUUUCAUUCACUUAAUUGUUGUUCACUCCAAAUGUCUAGCUACAAAUUUCUAAGGACCAAAAUGAAAGAUGACAUUAAUUUGAACUAGCCACCACCAGAAGUGUAAAGAUGAAAUUUGAUUCUUUCUUCUGCGCGUUAAAUAAAAGAGAAACCGAACACCUAAAAUGAAGAAAAGUCGCACAUAUUCUCGGCCCCUGAGAAGCAUGCACGUAGACAAAUAAGUUUUGUUGACACGGCAAUUUAUUAUAAUCUUACAAAGUCCUUUAGAAUAGAAGCAUAAGCAUUACAGUACGACACUCAAAGUGCAGACACCUUAUUUUCUUUAUUUUAGAGGUAUAUAUGUCCAUGACUGAUUGUCAGAGACCACAUAUAAGGUUGUUAAUUGUUAUGUUCAACUUCAUGGGCAGAAGACAACCCUGUAGUUGGUUCCACCGGGACACGAGUGCGUCUUUGUAUCAUCACUAGGGUAGAGAUAAGCAUCAGGGCAUUUAUCAGCAUUGCAUCUCAAUGAACGUGUGCACCCAUUCGACGUGGGACUAAAUUCCAUCGGAACAUUGAACCCGUCAAUCACCGAGAUAUCGUAGUAAUCCUGAUUGUUCCCUCCGUUCAAUGUGAAUUCAGCAAGUGUGGUGGGUGGUCUACCGGAUAGAGAGCAGCUCAGCGCGCCACCGCAGUCACCGGUCUGGCAACUGCCACGGCCUGAGCCGUCGAAGUUGCACCCGGUUCGGCCCCAAAUUCGGCCUGAUGAGCCGGCAUUCAAGUUCAGGGGCCAUGUCUCGCCUGAGUUCAACCUCCUCCCGCCGCCGGGCAAAGAGGCAGGCCACACGGGGUAGGAGCAGCGGUUCGUGAUGUCGAACCUUGCUGCUUGUGCUAAGGUGAAGCAGAGAGCAAUGAGGGAGAAGAGGGAGGUUUUCAUGAGAGCCAUUUUGAGUUUGGGGUGAGUAAACUAGGAUGUGAGCACCGAUAUUUAUAUAGGCCAUGAUCGGAGAAGCUGACACACUGAUAAUACGUAAUGUGGUGGAAAAUGGAAAAGUCUAGUGUUAUCUAUUCUAUGCUGUCACACUAAUAAUACAGCACACAUACGUGAAGUGGCGGCAAUUGAAAAGUAUGUAGUGCUACUAUUCUUUGCAGACCCCAGACUUGAAUGAUUUGAGUUAUGAUAUAUUGGUAUACUCAAUUUUCUCGUUAAACACUUUCUCUUAUAAUUUAUUUUUAUCUAAUUUAUAUCACAUCUACCUAUUAUAUCACUAAUUUAUAAGAGUAUUGUUGGUGCUAGCAAAAUAUACAGGAGGCGUUUGUUUCAAGAUUUGGAAAGAGAUUCCCGGGAAUAUAAAGGCUGGGAAUGAACAUUUCUGCGUUUGUUACAAGAUUGGAAACUAAGAUUUCUGGGUAUCAAUCAUUCCCGGGAAUAAAAUAACUUCCACAAUUCCCAUGAUUUCCUUCAUAUUGAUUCCCAUGAAAAAUGUUGGGAAUCUUACAUUCCCAUGGGAAAGAUGAAUGUAACUUUUCACUUCUUCCAUAAUUUAUCAUUUUUACCUCUAUUUUUAAGUUUUUUUAAUUUUUAAAUUAAGAAAAUUUUAAAAUGUUGGGGGGAAUACAAAAUACUUACCAAACACAUUUAUAAAAUUUAACCAGGAAUAACAUACCCGAUAAUCAUAUGCCGGGGAAUAACAUUCCCGGAAAUGUGAUCUCAAACCUUGAAACAAACGCCCCCAUAUAAUUCAAUUAAUUUUUUUAUUUACAUGCAAAUUAUUAUAUUUGAAGGAGUUUUAUUACAUGCACACAUUAUUUUAUCUAUCAUCUCAAAUCCAUUCACUUUCUCUCUUUAGCUCUAUUAUUUUUCGACCAGAUCACUCUUUCUCAAUAUAUAUCACUUAUUUGGAGCUAGAUUUCAGGUGAAGAUAAAAAAAAAAUUCCUAUUUGAAGUGAAUGUGAGGCUUCUAAUAUCUAUGUGUUUAGAUAGAUUUUUUUUUUAAAAUAAGAAGAUAAUAUAUUGAAAAAUAAUAAACUUGGGAACAAGACUCUCCUAAAUGAGCCAAACAAAGAUAUGUUUAAAUAGAUAUUUGAAAAUGAUUUUCCUUAUCAACUAAACGUGACCUUCACUGGCCCCGUAGGGAUGCACAGGCCGGAUUUCCGAUUAACUCAUCCGACCCAAAUCAAUAUGGAGGGCCCAAAAAUCAGAUUUGAUUGGAGUGGAUUCUAGAAGAGGAAAUCCGAUUAGGUAGUUUGGUUUGAAUUUUGAGUUUGAAAAAAUGAAACCCAAAUUAAACCAUAAACCUGAACAUAUAGGAAACAUCAAUGGAGGGAAUGGACACGGANNNNNNNNNNNNNNNNNNNNNNNNNNNNNNNNNNNNNNNNNNNNNNNNNNNNNNNNNNNNNNNNNNNNNNNNNNNNNNNNNNNNNNNNNNNNNNNNNNNNNNNNNNNNNNNNNNNNNNNNNNNNNNNNNNNNNNNNNNNNNNNNNNNNNNNNNNNNNNNNNNNNNNNNNNNNNNNNNNNNNNNNNNNNNNNNNNNNNNNNNNNNNNNNNNNNNNNNNNNNNNNNNNNNNNNNNNNNNNNNNNNNNNNNNNNNNNNNNNNNNNNNNNNNNNNNNNNNNNNNNNNNNNNNNNNNNNNNNNNNNNNNNNNNNNNNNNNNNNNNNNNNNNNNNNNNNNNNNNNNNNNNNNNNNNNNNNNNNNNNNNNNNNNNNNNNNNNNNNNNNNNNNNNNNNNNNNNNNNNNNNNNNNNNNNNNNNNNNNNNNNNNNNNNNNNNNNNNNNNNNNNNNNNNNNNNNNNNNNNNNNNNNNNNNNNNNNNNNNNNNNNNNNNNNNNNNNNNNNNNNNNNNNNNNNNNNNNNNNNNNNNNNNNNNNNNNNNNNNNNNNNNNNNNNNNNNNNNNNNNNNNNNNNNNNNNNNNNNNNNNNNNNNNNNNNNNNNNNNNNNNNNNNNNNNNNNNNNNNNNNNNNNNNNNNNNNNNNNNNNNNNNNNNNNNNNNNNNNNNNNNNNNNNNNNNNNNNNNNNNNNNNNNNNNNNNNNNNNNNNNNNNNNNNNNNNNNNNNNNNNNNNNNNNNNNNNNNNNNNNNNNNNNNNNNNNNNNNNNNNNNNNNNNNNNNNNNNNNNNNNNNNNNNNNNNNNNNNNNNNNNNNNNNNNNNNNNNNNNNNNNNNNNNNNNNNNNNNNNNNNNNNNNNNNNNNNNNNNNNNNNNNNNNNNNNNNNNNNNNNNNNNNNNNNNNNNNNNNNNNNNNNNNNNNNNNNNNNNNNNNNNNNNNNNNNNNNNNNNNNNNNNNNNNNNNNNNNNNNNNNNNNNNNNNNNNNNNNNNNNNNNNNNNNNNNNNNNNNNNNCCCGCCACAGUAGAAACUAGAUUUGCUAUGGCUGAAUGACGCCACCGAAAUCGGGGUGUUACAAAGCUUGUAAUAGACGAGGUGGAGUGAUGAGGGCCUUAGUCGUUAAGAAUGAGACCCAAACAGAGGUUUGAAGUCACUUGAUCGACCUUGAGGAUCGCCAUGCUUGCCUAUUUACACUCAGCAAUAAUCCCCGCCAAAACAGCAGUGCUCUAACUCUGGUCCACAAUUGAUUGUGGAGUAAGAGGUAAGAGUAUAAAAACUGAUGGUCGGAGAUGAUUAUGCGUCGAAACAUAAAGUUAUUAAAAAUUACAUUGCUAGUUAGUAACAAAUUUCAACAAUUUUUUUUUUUGGUACAAACAAACAAUUUUUUUUUUUGAAACUUAUUUUCUUAAUCAUAAACAACUAGGUAAAAGUAAUAUCAUUAGAUUUGGCACCCCACUCAUUAGAAAUGACACCCCACUUACAGAAACUUAGUUUCCGAAAUAUUUCAGAAAUAAGGUUUGCGAAGCACUUUUUCACUCAAAAGUGGGGUGUUACAUGUAUUUUACACUACAAAUCACGAAUUAAUGAUUCCGAAAUAAUUCGAAACUUGAAAAUCCGAAAAUUGGGGGUGUGAAAUCUAAUGGUUGAGGUGGCAAAUCCAGCUCUCUAAAAGUAAGAUAUUUACCCAAAAAAAAACAAGGGAUAUAUAAAUAGAGUUGUUAGCGUGCGUGAGUGAGUUGAGUUACCCGGGCUACUCCCAUUCGAAUCGGGGUACUCUAACUCUGCAAUUCCACAUGCCCAAUCGAAUCCUCUGCAAUCCCCAAUCUCGAAACCCUAGCUCUAAUUCCCCGUGAAAUGGAAUCGAUCGGGGUACUCCUUGUUCGCCGAUUGCAGCCCUACCUCGAACAAGAGCUAGAGAAACGCUACAAGGUGUUCCGCACGUGGGAUUACCCGCAGAAAUCCCAGCUGCUCAGCCACCACGCCGCCUCCAUCCGCGCUAUCGUGUGCCACGCGAGAGCCGGCGCUGACGCGGAGUAGGGUGUUGGAGUGGACAAGAUUGACUUGAACAAGUGCAGGGAGAAGGGGAUUCGCGUCACCAACAUCCCCGACGUGUUGACCGAUGAUGUCGCCGACUUGGCUAUUGGCUUGAUCCUCACACUCCUCAGAAGGAUCUGCGAGUGUGAUGGCUACGUCAGAAGUGGGCAAUGGAAGAACGGUGAGUACAAAUUGACCACUCAGUUCUCUGGGAAAACUGUUGGCAUUGUUGGAUUGGGAAGGAUUGGGGUCGCAAUUGCGAAGAGAGCUGAAGGAUUUAACUGUUCAAUAUGUUACUAUUCUAGAACUGAGAAACCAUAAUCAAAAUACAAGUACUAUCCUAGUGUUGUUGAGUUAGCAUCCAACUGUGAUAUACUAGUUGUUGCUUGCUCUCUUACACAGGAAACCCAUCACAUCAUCAACCGGAAGGUUAUUGAUGCACUUGGUCCCAAGGGGUUUCUGAUUAACAUUGGACGAGGUACGCAUGUUGAUGAGGCAGAGCUGGUGUCUGCAUUGGUUGAAGGUCGUUUGGGUGGAGCUGGGUUGGAUGUGUUUGAGAAUGAGCCUCAUGUUCCUGAAGAGCUGUUUGGGUUAGAAAAUGUUGUCUUGGUUCCUCAUGUUGGACCUGGCACAGUAGAAACUAGAUUUGCUAUGGCUGGCCUUGUCCUUGGAAACCUGGAGGCUCAUUUCCUUGGAAAACCNNNNNNNGUUACUAAAGUGACCCUCAAGAAAUCGGGGCGUUAUAGUUUCAUUGCAGAAAAAUCAGAUACAUUUGAAGUCUUUAGAGAACUUAGUCAACAACUUAAAAUAGAGAAAUGUUAUGGGAUUGUAAGGAUUUGAAGUGAUCAUGGGAAGGAAUUUGAGAACAGAAAAUUUGCAGAGUACUCUAUUAAUGAAGGCAUCAAACAUGAGUUUUUAACACCAAUUACUCCUCAACAGAAUGGUGUGGUUGAGAGUAAGAACAGAACCUUGCUAGAAUCUGCUAGAGUUAUGCUACAUGCAAAGAGGGUUCCUUAUCAUUUAUGGGCUGAAGCUAUAAACACUGCUUGCUACAUACACAAUCGUGUGACCAUUCGUUUAGGUCCUGAUUCUACUCUAUAUGCGUUUUGGAUAUGAAAGAAGUCAACUGUCAAAUGCUUUCAUGUCUUUUGAAGCAAGUGUUACAUUCUAACAGAUCGUGAGCAGAGAAGGAAAUUGGAUCCUGCAAGUGAUGAGAGAAUAUUUCUGGGAUAAUCAAUCAAUAGCAAAGCAUACAUGGUAUACAACUCUCGCACCAAGACCCCGAUGGAGUCUAUAAAUGUUGUUAUUGAUGAUAAUGUAAGUGAUAUGAAAGAAGAUGUUGUAGAUGAAGAUGACAAUAUACCUCAGUCAGUUGAUGCUAGACCAAAUGCCUCAGACAUCCGGUCCAAAACUGCAUCUGAAGAUGAGAGUGAGUGUAACGCCCCAAUUUCUCAACUGAGGAAUCACAUAAGUAACCUAACAAAGUCUAAGGACUAUUAUGCAAUCCCUAAAAUUCAAGGGUAUUUUUUUUAAAAGACUAAAUACCAUAGGGUUGGAAACAUUUCAUAACUUUAUUUAAAUAACCUGUUUCCCGACAUAAUAAUAUACAUAACAUAGAGUAGUUCACAACACCAUAAACAGGGUUCCAAAAUAAGUACGCCUCCUAACCUAGCUUUAUUAUGCUGAUUAUGCUUUUGUUUAGUUGUUUUACUGUUACCAUGGACAACUUUGCUAUUGUUCACUGUUCAGUCCAAAUUAUGUAUUGAUUCAUCGGUUUUCUUCCCUUUAAAACCAUAUAACAACUUGUAAUGUUAGAAGUUGUCGUGGAGAAGCUACUUUAUAGGCAUGUUACAUUUCCUUCCUCUAGCCAUUCUCAUUUGCCAAGGAGUAUUAAUUCAAUGCAUACUCUUGUGUGGAAUUUGAUUCAAUGCUGUGACAGGAAGGCCCAUUAGUUUCUUCUAUGCUCUUUGUAGCUGUUUCAAGUAUAUCUUUGUAGCAGGAAAUGUUAUGCUGAUAAUUUCCGGUCAUGCUUAACAUUCUGCUUUCAGAAUAAGUGUGAAGUAUCUGCAAAUUUAUGUGAUAAUAGCGACCAUGAUUUGCAACAGCGCUGGAGUGCUUAUGAUAACAUGGGACUGCAGAGGUAACGACAUGAUGGCGGCAUCUAUAGCUUGUCAAAGCUGUGUCAGGUGCUUUGUCAGCAAUGGGUUGUAGGCGCUGUGUUGCAGCAGCAGAUAUUAAGGUGGCAAAGAUUGAUUCCUAUUUUCCACUUAAGCUUUGUUCUUUUCUUGCCUAAGGACCUUCCUCAUGUUUAGCACCACUGUUAAUAUUAAUUCUAGUGAUUAUGAUAAAUGAAGAUUGUUUGAGCUUCUUGAUAUCUAUGUUGUUGCUUCUCAGUGUCUGAACAAUUGUAAAGAUAUAGUUAGUUCAUCCUCAUUGUGUGAUUUCUUGAUCUGAUUGAAAAUAGAUAGGAAACAAUUUUUCAUGCCCAUCUUAUUACCGCUCUAUUUAUGAUUGACUAGUUUAAUAAAUAUCAUAAUGAGUUUUAAAAUUAGAUUUCAGUGAAUAGUAAGAAGAGGAUAACAUGACCUUUUAAAUUAGAGAGAGCUUGAUUGUAGGGGAGAAGAUCCUCCCAUGUGAAAUUUCUCUCAUUUGGGUUUUACUUAUUGUAACAAAGAGGGUGUACCAUACUCAAAAGGAUUUUUAGUUAUUAAAAUCGUUAAAUGGACCAAAAUUGUUUAUUUAUUUUUUGAUGUAACAAAAUUGUUUAAUUUUAAAAGUAUAAGAAUUUAAUUAAUUAAAAAAUAGAGGAAAAAUCAUAUCUCAAAAAAAGAGGAGUCCAAAGUGCUAUUAAGCUUUUUUUUUUGUGCAUGGGAAAACAAAGUGCUAUUCAGAUGGGAUUGGAAUGUCUCCAUACAGUGGUACCUCGUGAGAAGAACAAAGCGGCAGAUUUCAUGGCGAAGCAGGCAUCGAGAGAGGUCUCCCCAAGACAGUUGUGGCGACUGCCACCGAUGGCUGUUAUAGAGUACUUUUGUAGUGACGUUAUUAGUAGUUAGUUCUUGAGCUUUUAGUUUUUCUCUUGUAACAAAAAAAAACUUAUAUAUAAUAAUAUUACAAAAAUUACAAACCGAAAAUUUAGAUAUUUUAUUCUCAUAAAAAUUUAGAUAUUUAUUAAUGGUUGAGUUGAGUCUCCAAUCGGUUGAUUAUUUCGCGGGCAUCGACGGUUGUUCUGUUAUUCUGAAUCACGAAUCUCUACAAACGGUUCCCGAGCCUAAAACUGUGCUUAUCUUCGCAUCGAUUUCCCCUGCCGGUGGCGGUGAGCCCGCCGUUCAAACCCGAUGACGUAUUUGGAGGGGAAUGACGGUGGUCGCUCAAGGGAGGGCGAUGGUGACUACGUUAAAUUACGGUGGGGAACUCAAGAUUCUCAAUCGGAGGUCGCACUUCCUUCUCCGCCACCGCGAGGUGCUGCGAAGCUAUGGUUUUGGGUUAAAUUGGUGGCGUCUUUCCUAUGUCUAGGGCUAUUGGCUUUCAUUGUUUUCCAAUGGGUUGGACCCUUUUUUAUAGAAAAGGUUUUCACACUUUUUCCCUUCAUUCUCCAAAUCACCACUUACAUUGAUUGCUUGACCUAAUUGUGUUUUAGGGCUUGUUUUUCCUUCUUAGAAAUUUCAAUUUUCAUGAACAAGUCAUGCAUAGAUAGGUUAUAUAUAGAUUGCUUGCAGGCAAAUGAUUGUUUCAAAAGUGAAUAAUUGUGUUUUAAUUAUAAUGUUGAAUCACUUAUGUCACUGAUGAUGUAUGUACAUUACUCUUAUUUUUAGGUGAUUAUUCCAAUAACAAAUUGGGAGAGGAACAGAUUCAGUCCUUCGGAGUUAGCGGUUAUGUUGUUUGGUUCUAUAGCACUAUUUCCUACCUUGCUUUUGCCCUCUUCACCUUCCAUGUGGAUGGCUGGAAUGCUAUUUGGUUAUGUUUUAGGAUUCAUGCUAAUAAUUUCUGCAGCUGCUGUGGGAGUAUCCCUCCCCUUUUUCAUUGGUUCAAUCUUCCAUCGCAAAAUCGAAGUAAGUACAUGUCUUCAGUGUUCGCAUCUGUGUUCAUGUGUUUACCUCACCUGUGCUAAUUAGGAUAUUACUCAUGAUUCUUUGCAGGGGUGGUUAGAAAAGUAUCCAAAGAAAGCUUCUGUUUUAAGAUUUGCCGGUGAAGGAAAUUGGUUUCAUCAGUUUCAAGCAAUUACUUUAAUAAGGAUUUCUCCAUUCCCGUAUAUUCUCUUCAACUAUUGUGCCGUCGCAACAACUGUUAAGUAUGGCCCUUACUUGUGCGGAUCCUUGGUAGGAAUGGUGCCAGAAGUACUUGUUUCACUCUAUACGUAGGGUCUCCCUCUCUAAUAUACUUGGUUAUACUAGGAGCUUGCUUUUGGUUUGCUAUAGCUAUUUGAAUACUUGGAUUACUUAUCAUAUAUGUAUUACUUGUAUGUAAAAUAAAUGUAUUACUUGUAUGUAGAUGUAGAAGUUUUCAUGUACAUCAAAAGGUAUAGAGGGUAGCCAUUAAUGAUGGCUAGCUAUGCCUCCAUCAUGAGUAUAUUUUGAACAAUAUUGAGUGAUAAUUGUUUCAUUAAGGUGUCAUAUGAUGGCUUCUUGAAUAAAUUGAUUAGUUGCAUUUCGUCAUAUUAGCUGUGUUACAUAUCUGAUCUGAUUAAGGUGAGACUAAUAUGUGACAUGUGGAACUACUGUUCUGAUAAACUUCUUUUGUUGAAUUGUUAUGGCUAUGGACUAUUGAAUUCAUUGGCUGCUUGAUCCUCACCACCCACCAGCUGGAUACAAUAUUUUCUUAUCUUUUUUAUGUUGAAAAUGUAUACAUACUUAGCAGCAAUAAGACAAUUCCUGUGUCAAUUCUAUGUUUGACAUUUUUUUCUUCUUAUUUUCUCUCUGCCCUUUCAGGUCGUUUUUGAAAACUUAUAUCACCUGAUCUGCAAUACUAUAUAUCUUAAUUGUCAUUUCUUUGCUUUNNNNNNNNNNNNNNNNNNNNNNNNNNNNNNNNNNNNNNNNNNNNNNNNNNNNNNNNNNNNNNNNNNNNNNNNNNNNNNNNNNNNNNNNNNNNNNNNNNNNNNNNNNNNNNNNNNNNNNNNNNNNNNNNNNNNNNNNNNNNNNNNNNNNNNNNNNNNNNNNNNNNNNNNNNNNNNNNNNNNNNNNNNNNNNNNNNNNNNNNNNNNNNNNNNNNNNNNNNNNNNNNNNNNNNNNNNNNNNNNNNNNNNNNNNNNNNNNNNNNNNNNNNNNNNNNNNNNNNNNNNNNNNNNNNNNNNNNNNNNNNNNNNNNNNNNNNNNNNNNNNNNNNNNNNNNNNNNNNNNNNNNNNNNNNNNNNNNNNNNNNNNNNNNNNNNNNNNNNNNNNNNNNNNNNNNNNNNNNNNNNNNNNNNNNNNNNNNNNNNNNNNNNNNNNNNNNNNNNNNNNNNNNNNNNNNNNNNNNNNNNNNNNNNNNNNNNNNNNNNNNNNNNNNNNNNNNNNNNNNNNNNNNNNNNNNNNNNNNNNNNNNNNNNNNNNNNNNNNNNNNNNNNNNNNNNNNNNNNNNNNNNNNNNNNNNNNNNNNNNNNNNNNNNNNNNNNNNNNNNNNNNNNNNNNNNNNNNNNNNNNNNNNNNNNNNNNNNNNNNNNNNNNNNNNNNNNNNNNNNNNNNNNNNNNNNNNNNNNNNNNNNNNNNNNNNNNNNNNNNNNNNNNNNNNNNNNNNNNNNNNNNNNNNNNNNNNNNNNNNNNNNNNNNNNNNNNNNNNNNNNNNNNNNNNNNNNNNNNNNNNNNNNNNNNNNNNNNNNNNNNNNNNNNNNNNNNNNNNNNNNNNNNNNNNNNNNNNNNNNNNNNNNNNNNNNNNNNNNNNNNNNNUAUAUAUAUAUAUAUAUAUAUAUAUCUCCAUCAAAAGCAUUUUGUUAGUUAAUAGUAUUGAUGAUAUCCCCUUCAGUGAUGAUCAAUCCUAGUAUAUGACAUGUAUUUUCAAAUGUUGGUUUGUUUGUAAUUUUCACAAAGAUAGGAACUAGUGAUGCAAAAUAUCCUGUUGAAUUUAUUACCUCCUUGUCUUUCAUUGUAGGGGAAUUUUGAUCCGAACGUUGGCCAAUGCUUCACAUAAAGAGCACACUAUAUCUGUCGUGCAAAUUGUCCUCAAUGUUGUUGGCUUGUGCAUAACUGUAGCUACGGUAUAUUUUAUCACAGUCUAUGCUAAGAGGCGGCUCAAAGAGUUACAGAAAGGGGGUGAGCUGCUAUUGCAAUAAUCCUGUAGUUUUAGUCUGGGUUCAUUGCUGACUGCAUGAGGCUGCUUCCAAUAACUCUCAUAUUGCCAUAUAUUGAUGAACACGACAUAGCUGAGUGUGGUCUUCUAAGUAAGUAACCUCAUCUCUGGGAGGGUUGACUGUCAAAUGUUUUAAAGGGUGGUAAUGGAACAUGCUAACACCACUGAAAUCCGCAUUUUAUUUAUUUAUUUCAGUUUGUUGUCUACAGAAGUUGUGUUUCUUUUUUUGUGCUUUGAUAUCAUUUGAAUUUGUAUAUGAAGUAAAAGCAAAAUUAAUGCAGUACAGAUUUCAAAUUAUUUCUUUUAAUAUGGACAGGAGGUAGUAUAUACAGAAAACAUGAUUGUAUAAUUGGGGGGAGAAGCGCAUCUUUGGAAACUUGUUCAUCACGAUGAAGUCAAAUCUUUGAUGGACAGAAGCAGCUUCUCUUAACUUUGGCUUCUGCCCACCACAAUUUUAGAUUCACUGUUGUUUUCGAACGAGUUUCCUUUCUUUCUAGUAAAAUUGCUUUGAUCUUUUCCCCUUAAUGAUACCUUGUCACUUGUAUCAAUGUUUGAAGAUUUAUACAUGUGCGAGCUUGUCAUGAUAGUUGUAAUGAAUAUGGUAAAAAUAUCCAGGCCAUUCAUUCAAGGGGGAUUUACUUUGCCAACUAAGGCAUAGAUUGGAACAUUAAAAUAUAUACGUCACUUCCUGUAUAACCUAAUUUACUGGAGAAUGAAAGAUCAUGAUCAUGUUCUACAGUAAAUAAUACUACUUACUAUCUUACUUAAGUCAGUUGAACCAAAUUUAACCAUUAAAAUUGGAAAUAGAAAUAUAAAAUAAUCACUGAAUUCACUUUGAUCAUUAUGUUUAGUUCCACUCUCUUGGUGUCUUAAAAUUUUCCAUGUAGUAUAAGAUAUGUGAUACACUUUGUAUUGUUGCAGAGGGAGCACAUAUUGUUGUCCUCUGUCUCAGAUCAGCGUCUCACAGCUCAGCAGAGAAUUUAGUGUUUUGUUCUGCUUAACCUUUCUAUCGUUGUAUUCCCCGUUACUUAAGCCAAUGUCUUGAACAAUUGUCUCUAUGUAAUGAACACUCUCAUUCAUAAUGACAUGAGCACACAGGUACAUAUUCGAUUUCAAUGCCACUACAAAUGAACUGGGUCAGUUUGGCCCCUUAUUUGUUUUCUUUUUUGGGGACAUUGGUCAAGAAUAUAGGUGUACACUUUUGCUGGAGGUAGGGUCUACCAGGGUCCAGGAAGCUUAUCUUGCCGUAACAUUGCCAUAACAUUAAUCAUUAUAGAGCACUUGAUUAAAUGAGAUUAGAUGAGAUUAGCUUCGCUAAUCACUUGAUUUGUAUAAUCUUGAACUUAAGAUCAGAGGGCAAAAACAAAAGGGAGUAGGGACCACUAGUGUGUAAUAUUAAUAUGCCAGCCAUGACUUAUUAUUAGUAGUUAGAUGGGGGUCCGUUAGAUGGAAUAGAAGAACACAUUAAAUGAAAGCAUUUCCAAACACGGCAGUGGAUGAAACCGUGGCAAAAGGGGAAACCUUUUGAAGGACUGCGUUUAUUUAUUCAGUCACAUGCUCGUGUUGUACGUGUCAAUAUGUCAUUUGCAAAAGUUGUUCUUUUUUUAUAGCAAAAGUUGUUCUUUUUAAUCGUUGAUCAAGUAGAAACAGAAGAGAAGAAGAGAUUCUGAUCCCUCUUUACUAGUCAAAUGCAAGAGGACAAAAUUGAAUAAAUGGAGGAGGUAACGUUAAAGAGAGAAUGACUUCUUACUUCUUAGACGAAUAAUGUUAUCUUCACAAGAGAGAGAAAGUGUGAAAUGUGAUAGAUGAUAAGAGGAGAGAGAUGGAAAUAAAAAGAGGUGGAAAUGAAGUGUUUAAGAAAUAAGGUGUGUAUAUAUCAUUAUUGCUUCUUAGACAACUGAAAAACCAAAAGUGAACAAAAAAACGUUGAGGAGAAAUUGAAGAGUAAUGAUACAUACACACCUCAGUUUCUCUUCCAUCUUAUUUCCAUCUAUUUCUCUUCCUAUUUCUCUCUGCAUUUUCUGUCACAUCGCAAAUCAUAUCAUUCAUUUCUCUCUCAUUUAUACCUAAUCUCACAAAGUGGAAGUGGAAUUAGUAUGUCAAUUAAACAUUAUUCGAAAUUGAAUGGCCAGGCAAUCCGCAAUGAAGUUCGCAAUAUUGCUCCUAUUCCUUUUGUUCAUAAUUUGGGCAAAUACUUGGGCUUUCCGCUGCAUGGUGGACGGAGAGACAGAAAUGCUUUCCAAUACCUUCUGGAUAAUAUCCAAAGGAAAUUGGCUUCUUGGAAAACUAACAUGUUGAAUUUUGCAGGUAGAGUUUGUUUGGCGAAGUCAGUUCUAGCUGCUAUCCCAACUUAUUCCAUGCAAGUUUUCUGGCUUCCUAGAUGGCUUAAUGAAAGAAUAAACCAGCUUGUUAGAAAUUUUAUUUGGUCCCGUCAUGGUGGUAAUCGCGGCUGGCAUUUGGUGAAUUGGGACACCCUAACCAGAGAUAAAGAUUGUGGUGGUCUUGGGGAGAGACGUCGCUGUGGUACAAGGAUUGGAGCGGUACAGGUCCAAUUGCUCAUCAAUUGCCCUUCGUAAAUAUCGCUGAUGUUCAUUUGCAGUUGAAGGAUAUUAUCCAGGGUAAUGUUUGGGAUCUCAAUCGUUUAUACACUAUGAUCCCGCUCUCAGUGCAGCAGAAACUCACAGACUUACAGCCUACUGUCUGUGCGGCGAGGAGUGAUGGGUGGGUGUGGAAUGUUGGUAAUAAGGGUCAGUACACGGUUCGGGAUGGUUAUGCGUGGCUCAAUGGUUGUGCUCAUGACCAGCAGGGAGAUCGUAAGAUUGACUGGGUUUGGAAGCUUAAAGUGCCUGAUUUUAUCAAAAAAAUUAGAUNNNNNNCGAAGUGGCUGGGCGUCGGCUCUCUCAGGAUCACGAUGAUUGGAUUCGUAGCAGCCAAGAGGUUGAUCUUUUGCUGUGUAACGCAUGGUCUCCUCCUCCAACCAACAUGGUGAAGUGCAAUUCUGAUGGGAGUUUCUGUGAUAGUAAUCAGCGGAUUGGUGGCGGUGGAAUUAUCAGGGAUCACCUUGGCCGUUGGGUGGUGGGCUGCUACUCCGGGGAGGCUGGAGAUAGUGCGUUCAGAGCAGAAGCCGUGGCGAUGCGAGAUGUUCUCCAGUUAGCCUGGGAGAAGGGGUUUAGGCGAGUGAUCUGUGAUGUUGAUUGUGCAGAGCUGGCCUCCAUAAUAACAGAUGAAGCAGCUUCUCAAAGACAUGCAGAGUUUCUUGUGCUUGGUUCUAUUCGUCAGCUUCUAGCACGAGAGUGGAACGUCAGGAUCAAUUGUGUGCAUCGAGAGAGCAAUAUUGUAGCAGACUACCUUGCCAGGAGAGGUGCAGCAGCAAGAUCUUCUGGGGCUUGGGUCAUUGAGUCUCCUGACCCGGAUGUUGAGUACCUUCUCUUGAAGGACUCGUUGUCCAUUCUUUAGUUAGUUUUCUUUGUCUUUGUUAAUUUUCCGAUGUAUAAAAAAAAAUAAACCUGAACAUAUAUAAUUAACCAUAAGUGUUUUGUUAGGAUUAAUUUUAGUGUUUUGUUAGCGUUAAUUUCAAUUUACACUUGUUGGGAGAAAUUAUUAGCAUGGUGGUUGAUUCACCUCUAUAAUUUGUUGUUUGAUUCAUCACUAACUUUCAUGUUGCAUUAAUUUAAUAAUAUUUUAAUAGAGAUUCAAUUCAUCUAUCGAAUCCAAAUAUCAUCCGUUUAAUUUGGUUCAAUUCGGAUCCAAAGGUGAAAAAUGUGGAAUACAAAACCAACCCAAAUACUUUUAAUUGAUUUGGUUAUGUUUUGAUCAGGAACCGAUCCAAACUAAUCAUAUGCACUCCCGGCAGUGAUUUUAGAGCCUAACCCACCCAAAUUCUUAUAUUAAGAAAGAUAUUUGGAAAAAAAAUAUCAGGUUUUAGUUUUGGGUCUUUCGGUCCAAGACUCUACUCAUGAAACAUCCUCAUAUUUCCGCAUAUAGUAGAUUGCUUUUUUUUUGGCCUUGUGCUAGUGGAUUGUUGACUCCGCAGUAGACUUCAAUAGUUAAUUUUUAUUUUCUUCUUAAUUUUACAAUAAAUGUUUUACAACUGUAAUGAUGAUAACUGAUAAGGGAGAGAGACAUUAUAUAAUUAUGCGGAAGGAAACGCAGGAAAAUUCAGUCGACAGUGACUUACCAUAAGAUGCAUACCUCAUCAGAUGGAACGGGAGAAAUAGGAGGAAAACAAAAGCAAGUGAAAGAUGUGAUAAUUUAGACAGAAAGGGAAAAUAAAUAGAGCUAAAAAAGAGAGAUUUAAUACUGGGCCGGGCCUGAAGUUAAGUUGUAUAGUAAUGGGUAAAUAUGCUGAAGCCCACCUAGUAUUUGGAAAAAGAAAAAAAAAGGAGCAUACUUUUUAGACCCUAAAUAAUAAGGGAUGGACUAUCAAUGGAAAAGCUUAUUGACAAAAAAAAAGGAUGAAGGGACUACUAUUUUUUUUUUCAUCUCAUUUUUUUUAUCUCUCUUAUUUUCCAAUCACAUCAUAUAUUCAUAUAUUAUAUAUAUCUCCUGCUCCUUUUUCAUUUCUUUAUUUCUCUAUUAGGUGAAGAUGGUAUAUAUUGGUGGUGUGAAAACAAAUUAAACUUAUCAUUAUAUAUGAAUUAUCAGGUGAUGAAGGCAUGGUGCAUGUUGCAUAGAUUUACUCUCUCUUUGUUUUUUUUUUUGGUUAAAUCUGUUCCUUCUACCAUUUUCUAUCAGACCAUUAUCAUUAAGAUAGUCAGCUAGCUAGGAGUUAUAACUAGUUUUAUAUAUUGCUAUUUACUUAAGCAGGGGCAUAUGUCGCGCGUAGGUAGGGUAGCAGGGGUGGAGGCAUAAACUUCAUUUUGGGGAUCGGACCAAGAUUAAACACUACAUGACUUAUAAAAAAAUCUAAAUUUUCACAUACUCAAAUUUUUUAAGCAUCUUUUUAGACACUAAAUAAAAAGAACUAUGUAGUUCCAUCCCUAAUUGAGGCCAUGUUGGUUUAAUUAAUUUGACGCCUAAAAUAUUAAAGAAUGUAGAAAAUAAAAGACGUGUUGUUGCUUAUUGCUUUCACGGAAAUUUAUUAUAAUCUCACAAAGUCCUUUAGAAUAGACACAUACUAGUACUACAGUGUGGAAAAUGGAAACGUGAUCGAUGGUGUGGAAAAUGGAAAAGUUCAGUGUUACUAAUCUUUGCGGUCACUCUGAUGCGUAAGGUGGUGAAAAUUGAAAAGUCUAGUGUUACUAUUCUUAAUUUGCAGACCGCAGUACACGCAAAUAUUUGAAGUGUAUAUGUACGGGGUUGCUUUAGUGCUCCUCACUUCCUUAACAUCACUGGGCCGGGUCCAUUUUGUGGACAUGUAUAUCUUGCUAUAUUGAUGUGUUGUUUGCUUUACCGGCGGGAUACCAUAAUGCAAUCUUGUAUAUAUCUUAAAGAGGAGCUGAGUUAGAAACGGGCAGGAUAAGAUAACAAAUUCACUUUUACUUUAAAAAAAUGACAUAGUGCAUGGGAGUUAUCAAUCACUAUAACAUAAGAGUCAUUUGGUUUUAGUCCCUCUAUUACUUACGUUAGUAUUUUUAAUUAUCAGAUCUUAAUGGCAGCUCUGACCAAAGUCAUACUAUUACUUUGAAUAUAAGGGCUAUAACAAAAAAAAAUGGAACCAAAAUCGUAAGAGCUCCAAAAAAAAAUUCUGAAAAGAAAAAAAAAUCAGGCUUAUUUUGGGUCUUUCGAUCCAAGACUCUACUCUUGAAAUAUAUGCAUAUUUCCGCAUAUAGUGAGUGGAUUGAUGACUACGCAGUAGACUUAGUUAAUUUUUCUUCUUAAUUUUUAAUUAGAUGAUUUCAACUGUAAUGAUGGUAACUGAUAAGUGAUAGGCAUUACCCAGAAGGAACGCAAAGAAAAUUAGCCAACAGUGAUUUACUACAAUUACGGGGCAACUCAGUCAGGUUUGAACGUUUGCUUGAUUACACAACUAGUCAAUCAAUUACCAACAAUAUUCUCAUAUUUUUGGCGAAUAAGUGAUACUCAAAAAUUAUUUUGAGUGUGACACUCGCAUUAAGUAGGUUGAUAAAUUAUUGUCAUAUACGAUAAGAUUUUAGUCGUUGAGAUUUAUUGACAGUAGAGAAAGCGAUAUUGUAGCCAGCAAAUGAUGAAAAUGAUAGUGCAAGUUUCGACGCCUUUAAGUUAGAACAAAAUUUUGGUGAUACAAAGGAGAAGAAUAAUUGUGAACUGUCUGAAUGAUACUUUGAAAAAAAAAUUAUAAAAACAUUAACAUUUUAGAUUUAUAAUUAAUACACAUGUAUAAAUGUUGACUCGACCAAAGCACGUGUGUUUAUCAAUACACAUCAUUUUAAGUAAUGAUGGAUCCACGUGAAACACUAUGGGGGAAAAUGCCCCCACCGUUUAUUUUGGAAAAAAAGUUUCACAAGAGUAAUAAACUAGCAAAAGAUUAAAUUAUGCCCCCAACACUAAUAGUUUACCAAUAGUAUGCCCCCACGUAAAAGUUUUUUUUAUGUACUGCAUUGACUGCCCCCAUAGUAUUAGUAUCGGUGUGUGGGUUAAUGUUUAAUGAUAUAUACACACCUCAUUUUUAAAACACUUCAUUUCCACCUCUUUUUGUUUCUAUCUCUCUCCUCUUACCAUCUAUCACAUCUCAUACUUUCUCUCCCUUACUUUUUCUUUUCUUCCUAUCUCUCUCAUCAUUCCACCUCACACACCUCAAAAGAGAGGUGUGUGAGUAACAUUACUCGUGGGAUAAUGGAUAAUGGAUAAUUUUUGAGGAGUACAAACUAUACUCUUUUUUAUAGUAUUAAUGUAUUUUUAGUGCUAUAAAUUUAUAUGUAUAAUUUUCAAAAAAAAAUUAUAUAUAUAAGUUGCCCCCACAACUUAAAGUUCAUGAAUCCGUCACUGAUUUUAAGUACCACACUUUGAUCGGACUUACGGUACUACAACAAAUUAAACAUUAUUAUUGAUAAAGAAGAGAAAACAAUACUUCAUGAGAUGUAGACAAAAGCAUGUGAAAGAUGUAGCACAACUAGUAGAUAUUGAACUUCUUAAGUAUUUAGUUAAGGGUUUGAUCCAUGGACCGUGUAUAUGAAGAUGCAUUUAUUGAUAGAUGCUUACUCACUUCAAACAUUUGUUGGUACUUAGGAGAUGCGUACCUUGAGGACCAAAUCCAGGAGAAAAAAAAGAGAGAGAAUUGAUAGUUGCAUAGUAAUGGUUAAAUGUGCUACAACCUACCCAUAUUUGGAAAAAGAAAAAAAUAAAUGAUCUAUAAUCUACUCAUAUUCCUAAUCAUUUGCCUUAGAAAUAGGUGAUUUGCCGGUUAAUAGAAGCCUUGUCCAGUUUCCUUCCGUUCCGCUUUGUUCAGCCACUUUUCCUUAGGGACCACGGUCUCCAAUCCUCCUUCAAUCCAAAUCCAAGAUGCCUCAGGGAACUCUUGAAGUUCUUCUAAUCAGUGCCAAGGGCCUUGAGAAUACUGAUUAUCUUUGUAAGAAAUAAUUUAUUUAUUCACACAGAACAAACAUACUUUCUUCUUGUUAAUUGUUUCCUAUUAUUUGGCUUUAUGGGGCAGGUAACAUGGACCCUUAUGUGAUCCUAACAUGCCGCACUCAGCAGCAACAAAGCAGUAUUGCAUCAGGUGCGUAAAAUCGAUUAUAUGUCAGAAUUGAUUAUGAGAAAAGAAAAACCGAUCCAAACAUGUUGUAAUUCUGAGCAUUUCCAAUUAGCUCUUGUCAAUUUUACACGGAUGAUCAAAUCAUGAUCAUACAUAAUUCAUAUUAAUUCCUGGCCUAGGAUUUUGUAUCAAACACGUUAAGUCAUACAUUCAUUUCUUGUCCAAUCAUUUAGAUGAGUUGUGAAUGAAUGCAGGUAAAGGAAGUGAUCCAGAGUGGAAUGAGAGUUUUGUAUUCAACCUGUCUCAUGGCGUUUCUGAACUCAAAUUGAAGAUCAUGGACAGUGAUACCGGAACCGGUCAUGAUUUCGUAGGAGAAGCUACGUGAGUUCCUCAUUCUCCAUUUCCAUUCAUAAUUUUUUUUCUUCAUAUAUCAUAGUUUUUAGGUGAAUUAAUCUUAGCAGCAUCAGCAUCUUAAUUUUUGGGGUUGACAAUAUUAGUUUUUGUUAAAAAUGCUAUAUUAUUCAUUCUCAUUCGAAAUUAUGAGCAAUUAGUUGUAACAAAAAUACAAAAGAAAAAUUUUAGUUUAUGAUACAGUUAAUUUUUACAGCAUUCCAUUGGAUGCAUUGUUUACUGACGGGAACAUCCCAGCCAUGUCCUACAAUGUCGUCAAGGAUGAACACUACUGUGGAGAAAUUAGAAUUGGCCUCACUUUUACGCCUGAGGUAUUAUUGCGUUUUUCUUAUUUUUUUGUCACCAUUUAUUAAUUAAUAUAUAUAUAUAUAUAGACAUUUAGACAAAUCAUGGUAUUUUGGUUAUUCAUCUUCAUCGUGUGGAAGUUCUUUACCUGCAUAAUGUGUAACAUAUACAUACUUGAUUCAUUAUAUUUCAAUAUGAACACAUUCCACCUCCUUGAAGACAAGUAGUGAGAUCCUUCAAUGUGUAUAACCUGAGGUUGUGUUUCUUAUGCAGGCUCGCGACGAGCGGCAAGAGCGAAGUUUCGGUGGGUGGAAGGAGUCUGGUUACUGAAAAGUGUGUUUGAAUACAAAUUGAGUGUAACGUUAAAAUACUUUCAUCUCAAUUCAGUUGAGUGUCCGUUUGUAAUAGUAUCAAUGGAUAUCCAAGCAUAGAGUCAUAAUUAUUAGUUUCUUUAAUAUAAGUGCUAUUACUUUACGGGAACCUUGAUAAUGUAACUUGGCUUCAUGGAUCUUCUCUGUUGACUGAGUCAUUAUUUUAUUCAAAGCGCAAAACAUACAGAUUCUAAGAAAACCUGCGAUAUAUUUCAUGCUGGGAAUAGUAGCUAGGAAACAAACAAAUGAGCGGAGAAAGAGCAAAUGCUAAAAUUAUUGAAAUGAGAAAAAGGCAAAUUAAAUCAGGUUCCCUCUCCUUCAAGUUAUCUUUAUGUCAAAUUUGAAGUAGCAAAUAUCAUGAGAAGCAUCUUCAUUAGAUGUGAUUUGCUUAUUAAUCCCCUUUGAAGUGUCCUUCCACAUAUGUUUUACCGGAAAAUCCUUGAUUUUGCUUUUAUUCCUUACAUGCUGAGCAUAGAAUUUGCAUUUGACUUGUGUGGUAAGCAAGUGUGUUUCUACACAAAAAGCUUAAUGUGCAAUACAACCUGGAGAGCAGGAUCCCAUGGCUCGUGGGUAAAAAAUACUGGGGUUGGAUGGAGCAUGAGCCUUUGGCUUGGCAAAUAUAUAGUAGAAUCAGAAUCAUUCUUCUAGCAUAACGCAAUUAUAUAAUAGUAGUCCUAAUUCCUAACAAAUUAUUUAAAUCAGUUGAUAAGCACUCAACUUCUUGAAAUCACUUUGGUCGAAAGCUUAUGGCUUGUAUAGCAUUUUCUAGAGGAAAUUAACAGCACUCGAACCAAAUAAUAACAAAUUGACAAAAAAAAAAGAACCAAAUAAUAACAAAGGAUACAAAUUACUUAGUUAGAGAGCGAAGUAAAGGAGAGCAUUGUUAAAACAGCUGUUGAACUCCUUAACAUCCUUUCCUUGCUAACCUAGAGAUCUUCCCAACAGACAACACAAAACACCAUGGCUGGCCUUAUGUUCAGAAUGUAUUCACAGAUGUCACCAAGGAAACAAAAGGAUGCUUAAUGACGAUGAUUAAGAUUUCUUAGUCUACAAAAAAAUACAUAUUCUAACAGUAGUUAUCCUGGGGCUAGCAACAAAUGCUUCAAUUUACCUACUUUGAAAAUUCUUAUUGUACUGAGGAUGGUAUUUUUGAGGAACAAAUCCAGGAGGGUAUUUUUGAGGAUCAAAUCCAGGAGGGUAUUUUUGAGGACCAAAUCCAGGAGGAUAACCUUGCUGGCUAGCGUUUUCCGUGGAUGGGAAUGAAGAGCUCAUUGAUGACGAUUGCUGCCCUGGCAUGGACUUCAUUCCUAUAUCAUACUGAAAUGAGAUGUCACUUUGCGAAAAGCUGGAAAAUCCAAAAUCUGGUAAAGUUAAACCGUCAUCUCUUUUCUCAUUCCUGCUGGCAGGUUGCUGGAUACAUCCUUGAGUUGCUACAUUUUCCUCUACUGGAAUCUCACCUGUAAGUGUCUUAUAUGCAAAUUCUAGACAUGGGUCUUCUGACCAAGAAUUCAUAAAUGAAGCACAAAACUCAAAUUCAGUAUUAUCCUGGUUUAGGUCAAAUGUUUCAGUUUGUGGAGGUGGUCUCGCUGCUGUACCAAAUUCACCCUCAACAACCUGACCAUUCUUCUGUAAUGGUUCUCCAUGUACUUGUGUGUGUAUACUUCCCCUGGGAUGAUGCACAGGUUGUUUCCCAUUUCCAGCUUCAAAGUGCAGGGGUUCCCCAUUCCAACCCCUUAUCAUGUUGGCUUCAUCAUUAUGAGAUUCUCCAGAUGUAAAUUUAGGAGCAUUUGCAUAAGAUGUGAAACUGGUCCUUAACUCUGGUUGCCCAUGGAAUGGUUUUGGAGGCUGGCCAUCCAUAUUAACAUCUUUCUUGUUCCGGCAUUGAUUUGUGUUGUUGUGAGCUUCUCCAUUGACGCCCAUCACCAUUCUCCCAUGCAAUUCCUUAUUUGGCGGCUCAUAAACAGCAGGAGUCAUAACAGGCAAGAUGUCUGUAGCAGAAUCAACUGGUGAAGCGCCAGAGAGAGUUUUGAAUGCAAAAUCUAGGCAUGGCUCAGGCCCAGAGUCCCCAAAUGGUAAGGAGCCCUGUGGCUCUGAUCUCUGAUCACCAAUAUUUUCAGCUACAGCUUGCUGCAGUUGUUUCUUGCGAACAGUUUGGGCAUUGUAUGACUUCUCACUCUUGUUUGAUGAUUCUGCAAGGACUUCUGUUUCCAAACUGUCAGAUGUAUUCAUAUGCUUGGUUUUCCCCCCAGCAUCAAGAUGGCCAGAAUUAGAGGCUCUGUCAGUUAAAAUUGGAGUUGCAGUAGCAGUUGGUUCUUUGCGUGAUUUUUUGGUUGAAUAUUCAAGAGCUCUUUCAGAAGGCGGAACAUCGGGUUCAACACCAGCAAGUCGCUUUGACAACCGCAUGGGCACUUUGACCUCUUUCUUUCUCUUGGAUUUAUUUGAAUGUACUUGUGGGCUUCUGUCCCUGCUUCCUGUACCUUUGUCAAGAGAAUUGUUUUGAUUGUCCUGGCUUCUUGCUGUAACAUUGUCAAACAAUGUUUUAUUAAUAUCAGUUUCAGAGAUGGUUGUGGGUCCAUUAUCAACUGAAUUGUUUUGAUUGUUCCUGCUUCUUCCUGUAACAUUGCCAGACACUUCGUUUUGAAUAUCAGUUGCAGGGACUGUAGUGGGACCUUUAUCAACUGAAUUGUUUUCAUUGUCCUUGCUUCUUGCUGUAACGUUGUCAAACAAAGUUUUUUGAAUAUCAGUUUCAGGGACUGUGGUCAGUCCAUUAACAACUGAACUCUCAGCAGGUGGUAACGCACCUGUGAGGGUAUUGAUUGCGAAUUCCACACUUGGGUCAGACCAUGAGUAGUGGAAUGCAAAGGACAGCUGAGGUUCUGAUUUCUCAUCUUCCAUUUCUCCAUCUUCAUGUUUCUCCAGUUGAUUGUCUGCAGUAGGUGGGAUUUUGGGAGAUUCUAUUCUUCUACUUCCAGACUCUCCAUUUAUUGGUGCAUGAUCUACAAGCUCUGUAACUGGCCUGCCCUCACUUUGCUUCAAUCCAGCUAGUCGGUUUGACGCUCGACGAGGAACGCAGUGCGCUUUGUUCUUUCUUGAUUUGUUUGAGUUAGCUCGAAUUCCUGGCUUAUUUUCUUCUGUAUUAUCUCUUUCCAGCUGAUGUUGUUCUUUGGAAACUACUUGGUCUGCAGAAAGAUCGGUGCCUGUGUUCACUGCCACUUGCUGCAUUUUAUCUGGGAUACCGUUGAAAUGCUGGGAUGAUUUACUUCCCAUAUCGACAUCUUGAGUGGAUCUACUAUUCCUCAAGCUUCUUUUUGGAACUUGAAGAGUCUGCUCAUUGAUCACAUUGUUGGCCAUCUGGACAGGUACAGCCCCAGCAAGUCUUGGUGAAGAACGAUGACGCACAUUGAACUCCUUGUUUUUGGAUGUUCUGUGGUUGUUGUGAUUCUUAUCAUUAGUAUUCUCCAUCAUAUUUAGAACGUGCUCCUUCUCAUGCACACCAUCUGCACAAUUUUCCGAUUUUUUCAUUGAUUCAUAUUUCAAAACAGCUGAGCUACCUGGGUCAGGUAUUUCAGGACGGUUUGCAGCUCCAUCCUCUGGUGAAUGCACCUUUACAACAGACUCGCACUUGUUUUCAUUGAUUCCAGAUGGUACAUCCCUAUCUUGCCCUUUCCUCGAGUUGCUAACAUCUGCCGAUUCUAAGCUGCUUUUAUCAACUAGUUUUUUGGCUGCAGUAGAAAGUUUGAAUUACAUACAAAUGGACAUUAGGUAUAAAUGACAUAUGCUUCAUUCCUCGGAGUUGGAUAAAUAAUUGAUCAAACAAUCCUAAAUAUAUUUGAUUUAUGGUUUCUUACCAACAAAAAGCUGUUGCUUAGAUGCAGACUGCUUCAGAUUCUGUCUCUUACCAGCACGCGAAGGCUAGAUGAAACAAAACCAUAAUUAGAAUUACAGACAAUUUGAAUUCUCAUUUUCAAAAAAAAAAAUUGAUGGGAAGAAAUUCUUGCGUGCUUGGAUUUUGGACAAUUAAUGCCAAUGAAAAUCUUUAAAGGACAUUAUGCAAGUACCAAGUAGACAAAUCUAAAUAAACAAUCAUUAUCAGCUAAUACUGAAGACGCAUAGUAGUCAUUAAAAAAAAGAUUCUUAACAUGAUUGAAAUUUUGCCAAGCCUCAAGUCUGACAUGAUUGAAGAAUCCCUAGAUUCUUUUAAUCUUUUAAACAGUUUGUAGUUUGAACUAAUAAGAAAAGAGAAUAACCAACAAAAGCAACAAUAGUAAGAUAACACUUAUAUGCAAGAAAGUCUUACAGUUAAGUUGUCUUCAUUUUGGAUUUGACUUCUGUGUGGUUUAAAUACACAUGAACCUAUAUCUCCAGAUUCAAGAUAUCGCAGUACAUCCUUCUUGGAACGGAAUACAUAUCCACUCACUGGAUCUUUAUAAUACUGUUGGAAGAGUAACCGAAUCAUAAUUUGUUUAAGCACUAUACACUUUAGAAAACUGUAAAUAUUACAAGAUAAACCACACUGGAGAUCAUUUGCUACCCACCUCUUCGAAUGUGAAAAGACAACAACAAAAAAGUAGAGCACUUGAUUUGAAGGGGGAAAAAGAAUGUAAUAACAUAGAUAUGCAUCCUUCUUUUAUGACUUAAAAAAGAGCUUGUUUUGGCAAGAGGAGAGAAAACAAAGUGAUAACUCAAAAACAUCAAAUGAUAUUUCAUACCAGAUCCUUCUUAGUGUUGUUGCGGCUCUUCCUAAUCUUUACUUCUUUAAUCCAUCCAGGUGGUAAAUCCUCCACAGUGGACUUAUCAACCACAACCUAAAACAAAAAAAAUUAAAUAUUUUAAUUUUUUUUUUACAAAGAUAACUUAUACCUCCUAAUAAUAUUUACUGAGCUAAAUAGAGGUUCAUCCAAUGAUGAAUACUAUGAAACAUAUCAUAUCUUAUCUUAUUUGUAAACAUUUUGCUCCUCUUCGUCAUAAAAUAGGCAUACAUUAAAUGGCACCAGAGCACACAAUCCAAGUAGAAAAAAAUAGCAACAUAUAAAAACUUGCUUGAGUGACAAUGGCAAGCUAAAAAUAAGUGCAAUCCAUAGUCCAACAAAAGAAACAUGAGCCAAAUUGGUAUAAACAAUAUGAAUAGACACAAGCACCAAAACGUGGGGCCAUAAGCUGAGGCAGCCUUCUCAUUUUCUGAACUGCACAUUCUUUGUGGGGGUUGCAUUUUUUUUCAUUGUAUAAUUCUAUGAGGUCAAUUUUCAUGUCAAAAUCCUAUAUACAUAACAUCUAUAACGAACUCCUACCAAUAACCAUUAAAUUCUAGUUGAUUUUAGCCUCAUACAUGAUCAUUUCUAAUUGUGAGGCCUAAGAAGUAAGAAGCACCGACACCUCUGAACAACGAAGUGUCCGGGUGUUGGACACUAGUCUAACACCUAUCAGACAUGUGUUGGACACCUUUCUUUUUGCAGUGUCAGAUUAUAAAAGUUAAUCUUACAUAAGACAAUCAUUGAACCACCACGACUUAGACACUGCUCAAAAGACUGAAUUGACACCUCUUCUUGGCCAGACACCUCUAGGACAUUGAUUUAGACACCUCUAGAACACUGAUUUAGUUUAAAAAAUAAAAAAUUAUUUAUUAAAAAGUAAACUUAUUUGCAUAUUUUAAAUUCUAAAAAACCAUUUAAAAGUCAAACCCGUAAAAUAUCUUUCUGAAUCUCUUAAGUUGUAUUCAUCUUCUUGUCUUCAAAUUUCUUUGUAAAUAGACAAAGUGUGCAUUAUGAAAUGAUAUGUCUCAGUAUUUUUUUCAAGCUCAUCAUCUUAAGAAAAUUGCAAAUCUUCAAUUCUCUUGACUUUGAGAAGGUGAAUAUAAAUAUAAAUCUUAGUUCUCAAUUAGAUUAGUCAUAUUGAUCAUAUUUCUUUUUUAGUAUAGAAUUAUGUGGUGUCCUUGUGUCCUAUUUCAUGAUAUUGGUCGUGUCACAAUGUCCGCGUUGUGUAGCGUCUAGUGUUAGUGUCGGAAUCAGUGCUUCAUAGAUUAUGACAACCAUCAAUCAUGCAUGUCAUUGGACAAUGUAAUGGAUGAUGACAAGAAAGGAUUGGCAAACAGAAACUAAAAGCAAAUUAGAGAUAUAAGAGAGUAGAGAUACAAACGUUGCUUGGAGAAGGCAUAUUAGUGCACUUCUUCUCCUUCUUGGGAGUGCAGGUGCUAUCCUUUGUAGUUAUGUUGUCAAUGAUCUGUCAAUUUAACGAUAAAAUUCAUUAAUAACAAACAGAAAAUAAAAGCAAAUUAUAGAUAUAAUAGACUAGAGAUACAAACGUUGCUUGGAGAAGGCAUAUUAGUGCACUUCUUCUCCUUCUUGGGAGUGCAGGUGCUAUCCUUUGUAGUUAUGUUGUCAAUGAUCUGUCAAUUUAACGAUAAAAUUCAUUAAUAACAAUCAGAAAAUAAAAGCAAAUUAGAGAUACAAGAGAUAGAGAUACAAACAUUGCUUGGAGAAGGUAUAUUAGUGCAUUUCUUCUCCUUCUUGGGAGUGCAGGUGCUGUCCUUUGUAGUUAUGUUGUCAAGGAUCUGCCAGUUGAUGAUAAAAUUCAUUAAUAACAAUCAGAAAAUAAAAGCAAAUUAGAGAUACAAGAGAUAGAGAUACAAACAUUGCUUGGAGAAGGUAUAUUAGUGCAUUUCUUCUCCUUCUUGGGAGUGCAGGUGCUGUCCUUUGUAGUUAUGUUGUCAAGGAUCUGCCAGUUGAUGAUAAAAUUCAUUAAUAACAAACAGAAAGUAAAAGCAAAUUAAAGAUAUAAGAGAGAAAGAGAUACAAACUUUGCUUGGAGAGGGCAUAUUAGUACACUUCUUCUCCUUCUUGGGAGUGCAGCUGCUGUCCUUUGAGGUUAUGUUGUCAAGGAUCUGUCAGAUUUGAUGAUAAAAUUCAUUAAUAACAAAGAGAAAAUAAAGGCAAAUUUGAGAUAUAAGAGAGAUAGAGAUACAAACGUUGCUUGGAGAAUGCAUAUUAGUGCGUUUCUUCCCCUUCUCGGGAGUGCAGUUGCUGUCCUUUACAGUUUCAAGGUGUCGCAAUACCUCAGGUUUGGAGAAGAAUUUGAGUCCUUUCAACGGAUCAAUAUAACACUGCAACAAGAAAGUAGUUUUGAAGUGAGUGAUAAGCUCCAUUUCUAAUGUUGUCAAAUACAUAAUAACAUAUUCAUCCCGAACUUUUAUGAGUAAUUUUUACUUUGCCCUUUUCAACAACAUUAACAUGUAAUUAAUUAUUGAAGACAAUAAGUGAAAAACAAAGAGCAAAGCUGUACUAUGUAAUUAAUGUGACUGAAACUAACAAUGGACCAAGAAAGCGAGAGAAAAUAAAAAUACCACCAAGGAGUACAGAAUCACUUGUUCACAUCAAUUGAUUAGUGAAGCUUUCUCUAUUGCAAAAUAAUUUGAAUAUGGUUAAAAGAUAUGUCCCAAAAUCUAGCUAACAAAUUUAAGACAACUGUUCACAGGCUAGACACAUGGGGAACACAAAACUAUAGUAGUAUGUUACAUGUGUUAAAAUCAUGAACGUAAUCAAGAAUCAGACUUUAGAUUUCCAAAACAAAAGUAUCUGCUACAGGCCAAUUGUACAGAAAAUUUAUUAACGAUUCAAGGCCAGAAAAGCAGAAAUUUGAGAACUGUGCAAGUAAUACAUUUAUAGUGUUGGCCAUAUAUUAGUGAAACGAGUUUUUCCCCUUCAUCCAUAUAAUGCCGCAAUUCGUGCUGCUUCAGCCACGACCGUGAGGCGCGACACUAAUUCAUCUCAAUAGCGGCAGGGAGUUGCUACCCCGCUAUGGCAUGCUAUUAAGGAAUAGUAUAACUUACUACAGGAAAAACUGAAACAAAAAGAAGGUGGAAUUUAAGGAAUAAUAUAACUUACUACAGGAAAAACUGAAACAAAAAGAAGGAAAAAACGCAGUUGCAUUAGUAAAUAACUUAUAAAGAGAGUCCAUCUACUACCUUAUACGAAGAUCCCAUUUGUGUACCACUUUUCCGAAUUCUGACUAGCACACUCCAGCCAUCAGGUAACCAAUCCGGCCGUUCAUUAGCAUUCUCUACAACCUGAAAUUAUCAUACAUCAACCAGGUGAAAAGUGAUUAAGGCUAAGGUGAGUAGGAGAAGAAAAUAUCCCAAGGAAUAAGCCUUUUCAAAGAUUAUACUCACUUCUUGUUGUUUAGAAUUGCAUUUUGUGUCACUGUUGAUCUGUCUACCGGUCUCUUCAGACUCUUUAACUUUAGGUUUUCCCAUUUAGUCGAGGCAGGUUGUGCCGUCAGAAGUCAAUAGCCAAAACAAAUUAGUGAAUGCAGUCAAAACUCAAAGCAUCUAUUCUCCUUUGCUUCCCCCAUUCUAAUCAUGCAUCCAGACUUGUUUCAUGGACGACGAGACUCCGCAAGCAACACACACAUCAAGAAACAUCACUUGCUCUCCAACAUAGACCAAGUUAAAUAUGAUUUUUCUCCCUCCAGUCUUACCCCACCUGAAACAUGAACGAAAAAUAUACUCUCAUUAGGUCAUUAUAAAGAAACAACUCACAAUAAGAUUUGACAUGGUACAAUCACAAGAGAGAAAUCUGAAAACAUUAAUUUCAUGGUUUUGUAAAACAGAUCUCAUCCAUCAUACUGAAGAUUAAUUUCCUUCUAUAAAUAAAUAAAAAAACACCACAAAUGUCUCCUAAAUAAGUAAAUAAUAAUAUCAUUCUGGAAAUAUACACAGCAGAGUGGAAUCUCACAAAAGAUUAAUCCCAAUUAUUUAGCUAUAUUUCCCACUAAUCAAUCUAUAUUUGGUAAUAAUAUACAAUUUUAUGUAUGAAUCAAAUUAGAAGAUAAAUCUGAACAGAUCAUCUAUCAUAUCCCGCUACCCUAAGAAAUCAUCAACAUAGACGACGAAAAUAAAACAAUAAUGAUAACAACAAGAAACGGGUACAAGUGAAGUAAAAUCAGGAGAUUAGGUUAUAGAUUAGACAAUAGUUACCAAAAUUAAGCGGGAGUUUCAUCGGAGUUAAGGAAUUGCAGGAUCUGAGGGUUGUUGGAACGACGGAGCUGAAGAUUGUUGGGGUUCGUGAGAGGGGAGAAGAGAGGUUAGCUGAGCUGAGGAGAGGAGAGAGUUGAAGGAUUUGGUUUUGAUGGAUGCUAUGCUGCUACUACUGCUAACUAGUACUCAAUGCUUUAUUAUUGUUUAUUAUUUUAUUAAUUAAUUAAUUAAUUUAUUUAUUUAUGCGAAUAUACGUAGUACUGUAGUUUUUAGUUUAAUAUAAAGUCCACGAAGGAAUGAGGGUAACGAACCACGUGUUGUAUUGAAUGGAGUGCAUGCUUUUUGUGUUUGGUUAAGGCCAAAAUGAAAAUAAAAUAAGAAAAUAAAGUUCAUGUGACCACUGACCAGAUCACACUGCGUUUGGUCAGUAAAUCGUUUCCUCACGCAUCUAUGUAUCUAUCUCUCUCGCGCAAGAGGCUUGGUUUCAAGUUUCAAAGUGAAUGAUUGCGGCUGCCAGAAUAAUGCUUCAUGUAAUAAGCAGCACUAGCUAGCAUUAUCUUUUUUUUUAUAUAUAUAAACUCCAUAAUUUGUUCCUGCGAAUUGUAGCGUUUGUGUUUAUGCAUGAUGAGUUUAGUCUAAUCAUGUACUUAAGGACCAUGAAGGGAAGUUCCUGAUUGGAUUCUCAGUUAAUCGUUCCAUCCUUUCAAGCUAAACUCUGGGCCUGCGGGAUUCUACAUGGGAUCAAUAAUGCUUUGUCUACUAGCUAAUAGUUAGCUUAUAUUGGAUAAAGGUUGUCUUAGGUCUAAUUCUAAUGCCCAUUUGGAUAGUGAACUCAAAGGCUUCUUCAAUCGUUUUUCUCAAGUGCAUUUGAAACAUAUCUUUACAGAAGCUAAUUCAAUUGUUGAUUUGUUUGGCAAAAUAGUUAUUAUCUCAUGAACUAGAGAGAGCUUCAUUUACACUAAGAGUAAUUUUGAAAAGCUACUCCACAUUCUCACCCUUGAUUGUAUUAAAAAUUUAAUGGUAGAGAUUAAUUUCUAAUGUUCAAUCACGUAAUUUUCUUUUCUCCUUGCCAGGAAAGAAGAAUUGAAAAAUAUGAAUGAUAAAUUGAUCGAUGUUGAAUCUCAGAAGGAAGACUUCAAACAAUUGCAAUCCGUAAAAGAAUCCAAUGGAAUACUUGACGAUGAUAUGACAAAUCAGAAAUUGAUAAAUUCAUAUCUUGAUGCACAAUUUACAGAAAGCCCAUUCCAUUCUCAUUGCCUUAAACCAAAGCUUCUUUCCUUUUCAAUAGCCCCAAUUUGCUAGUUGCAAAACCCUGAUUAAAUAAUUGAUACGUACAGGAAGGUAGAACAAGAUAAACAAAGUAAUUGUGAAUACCAUUGCUAUGUGAUUGGUGGCGAUGAUAAAGAAAGUAAUUGUGGAUCAAGGCUAUGAGAAUGAAGAGGGAUCCAUUUCACUGGUUGAGGAGAGGCAGAGAGUGAGGUGCUAGAAGCUUUAAAAAAAGUCAGUACAAAGAUUAAAAUGAGGAUCACGUGACAAGUGAUUAUCAAUUAAUCUCAUCCAUUCAUUUUUAAUACAAAUCAAGGGUGAGGAUGUGGAGUAGCUUUUUGAAAUUACUCUUGGAGUAAAUGAAGCCCUCCAUUGCAAGGGCAAGGCUAGGCCCGAGAAGAAAGAAGAAUACCAAAAGGUAAACUAUUCUCUUACAAAUGAAAAAUUAAGCACAUCAUCAUGUAGAAGAGGUGCUAUCCUCGAAAGAGGAUUUUGAGCCAAUUAAAAGGCCAAAAAUAGCAACGUGAGCCAAUUUUAGCAAGAAAGUUAGCGCUUGCAUUUUCUUCUCUCAACGUACGGGCCACUUAAAUAUCUAAAAGAUCUAGCCAACGAGCUAAACUCCAAUAUUACCAAGCAAAGAGGCUGAGGAGGCGGAGGUUUAUCAUCCAAUUCUAUUUAAGAGAUGUGUAAAAUAAUUAUUUAAUUUAAUUUAAAGAAAAUGCUCUUUGGUUCCAUAACUCAUCUCAUGCAUGCCAAAUAACAUGAUUUUAAUUGUUUCCCUCAUGUGUAAAAAAGAAUAAUUGAUUUUCAUUGAUAAAAGAAUAUAGUAACCACGAGAAUUGUGCCAAUCAAUGACAUGAAAAGUGGAUUUCCAUCGCUUUAGUAUUUAUUUAUAUUUGAAAUAUGUAUAUGUAUUAAACCCCAUCCCGGUACCAACAAACCAAACCCUUGCCUCCCUGCUCCCUCCCUCCAUCGGAAUUGCGGACAUUCUCCUCCGCCGCACCGCGCGAACAACACAGUGAGUUUCCCUUACCCUUUCAAUUUCGCUCUAUCCACUUCGUGUUCUCGAUUAUUGUGUCCCUCAUCAUCUCAAUCUUCCAUGCAAACCUCAAAUUCCCUCUCUAUUUUUGCUAAUCAUCAUCUUUUCUACCACAAUUGUAGAUAGUCAUGUCUUUCCUAAUCCCCUUUGUGUAUUAUUAGGAGAUACAGUGAUCAUAUAGACAUUCUUCUUUAUCAACACUAGUUUCCAGUGCUAUCUUGUGCUUUACUUGUUAUGUAAUUUUCAGUUUUCUCAUCCAUCAAGGAGUAAUUCUUCAUACAAUUUCUCCAUUAUGAAUAGUAUCUAUAUCUUUGUAGAAAGGAAUGCUUAUAAAUCCACACUUUAAUCAAGGAAUAAUUUUGGCUCUUCAAAUUUGCAUAACUGAGGAACAUUAGAUUACCUUGACCUUGACAUUCAAUUUACAUAAUCCGUAUUUCGGAACGCCUUAUGCAUAAUUUGUGGAAUGUGCGCAUCUUUCUUUUUUAUGGGGUAAAUGUAAGCGUAUGAUCUUUUUCAUAUUAUUACUAUUACUCAUGUGUAAUUUUUGCAUACUAGUUACUAGAGCUAAGAAAACACAUCAAUUGUGCAAAAUGAUUAUUAUAUUUAUCAUUGUUGUCGGCUUGUCGCCACUUUUUAUAUGUACUAUUAUUAUUAAUUUAUUAUUUCUAUUUUUAGUUUGUAUCCCAUCAAGUCAAAUUAGCUUUAUUAUUUUUUCUGAUUUGAUUCUGAUUUUUUGACGGGUCAACCCGACGACAUUCCGCACCCUGUUUCAGGCUGGUUGAUGGUGGGUGGAUGCGGUGUAUAGAGGGUUGACCCACUUUCCCUAUCUUCAGCUAGUAACAACUUUAAUUAAACUAGCAACCAUAAAAAACUGAAACUAAAAACUGGUUUUUGGUUUUUUAAAGUUUCAGAAUUCCAUUUUACAACUAUCCUGAUUAUGCCGUUACCUGUGACUUCCCCUACCCGAUGCUAUUAUCAUCCUGUCGAUGCGGUUAUUUUAUACCAAUUUAGAUUGAUAACCAUGCUUGAAGUGAAUUUUUUUCAAAUUUGAUUUGCUAUAUUUCUAGAUGCAUAUAUUGAAAAUGAUCCUUGGAAGUUCCUUGUAUGAUUUCAAACUCUGUGUAUCCUUGGACCACAGAUGGCACUACAACAACAGCUAGACAAAUUCAAGAAACAGCAGGAGAAGUGUCAGUCAACACUGUCGAACAUUGCAGCCAACAAGGCUGCAAACCGAAAAUCUUCUGCUCCAGUAGUAGCUGCACCGGCAUCAGCCAAUGGAAUAAAUCCAGCACCUGCUGUCAAAUUCUCAAAUGACACCGUGAGGCUUCAGAAUAUUCACACCAUACGCAAUAGCACUGUGGGUCAUCAGAUGAAGCGUGUCAUUGAGCUCCUGCUAGAGGUACUCAGUACUCACCCAGUUCCCAUCCCAUUUGAUUUGUGAUUUCCUCUUUCAAUUCAAAUUGACCUUUGGUUGUUUUAUUUGGUUAAUGAUUUUAUUGUCAGUAAAUGGUGGUGCUAGUGACAGCAAAGCAUGAAAUGAAAAAAAGAGAAUUUUGCAUUCUUUAGUUAUUAGUUCUAACUUCUAAAUUUUGAAAACAUUUCCUGAAUCCUGAAACACUGACUAGGGGAUUUUUCCAUGACAACCUGCAUUUUACAUAAUUAUGCUUUUUAUCCAAUCAUCUUUUAAGGUAUUUUUGGGAUUGAUGGAUAUGUGUAUCUUCUUUUGCUCCUCCUAAGCUUAAUUGAAACCGUCCGCACAUGCACACUUGUCGUAAAUAAAAGUUUAGGUGGAGGGGUGGCUGCAUCAUUCUGAGGUCAGGGCAUGUCAUCAUUGACUUAAGGAGCCAUGCCAUAUGCAUAUGAACUGCCAAUAAAACUCCAUCUCAGGCUUUGUUUGUGAGGUUUUAGGGGACGGGAGGGAGAGACUUUGAGGGGAAGGGAGGGGAGGGCAGGAGAAGGAGAAGGGGGGGUAAGCCAUUCCCUUGUUUGGGAGUUUUUUUUUUCUUUAUUUUUUUUGGGUACAAAGAGCUAAAAGAAACAAAAAAUCUAAAAAACUACUGCUGCCUUAGGAAAGCAGUUCCCAUGCAGUCAGCUAACAACACAGGAGCCAUACCCUCUUUUUUGGGAGUUUUUAAUUCCCAAACCCCUCAAUUUGGGGGAGCUAAAAAAUAUAUCUAAAGGAGGGUUUUUAGAAAUACCCCAAACCCUUCCCCCCUUUUUAAAAUCUCCCAAACAAGGGGAGGGCUUCUCACAUGCAUUCCCCUUCCCUUCCCUCCUCUCCAAAGCCCAACUCACAAACACACCCUUAAUGAGUUGAUUAAUUGAAAGUUGAAACCUAAUUGAUUUUGUUGCUUGUAUUUGCUGACAGACACGGCAAGCCUUUACACCAGAGCAAAUUAAGGAAGUAUGCUAUGUUGACAUGAAGGCUAACAAAGAUGUUUUUGACAGUCUGAGGAAAAACCCGAAAGUACACUAUGAUGGGCAACGAUUCUCUUACAAGGUAACUUUUCUGCAUGCAUAUUCUUAUACUGGAAUGUUCCUUUAGAAAAUUAACUUUUUCUUCCAUUGUACUUGAUUGCUUUUGGUCUACAGUCAAAGUAUGGCCUUAAGGACAAAACAGAGCUUCUUCAACUGAUACGAAAGUUUCCUGAGGGCAUUGCGACUAUUGACUUAAAGGAUGCUUACCCCAAUGUGAAGGAAGACUUACAGGUAAAAUGAUUUUUGUUAGGGCUUUUUAUAUCCUACUGUGAUGGAAGACUUGUAGGUAAAAUGACUUCUAUUAAUGCUGUUUUAUAAUCCAUUGUGAUGGAAGACUUGUAGGUAAAAUGAUUUUAUUAGGGCUGUUUUAUUUUCUACGAAGAACAUUUUUUACAUUGAUUUUUCUAAGUGACAUUGGUUGUUUGUUCAUCGAUAUAAGUCUAUUCUUAUUUUUUACUGCUUGAACUCCUGUUUGCAUAAUUUAUCUUAGGAGAAAUAUGUUACGGACAAUACACUAAUACUGCAUAUUAUUGGGUUUUACAAAAUCUUCUUGCCACUGUCUCCUAACCUUUGCUAUUAUGGCAUUAAUGUUAAUACUGUGAAAUAGAUUUUUUUAAUUAGUCAGUACUUAUUGCUGUUUAAUGUGCUAGAUUAUUUGGUGCUUGGUUAAUGUAGAGGGUUGUCCCGCCUAGUAGGAAAAACAAUUGAAAUUUGCCUCCUUCCCGUCACUUUCCUUCCUUUCCUUUGUCCUUUUUUUAUAUGAAAACCGCUCUCUUUGCUUCUUUUCUUAUUGAGGUUAUCAUUGUACUGAGACAUUAGCUGAAGAGUUAUUUUUUAGUAUGUUUUUUUGUCGAAAUAUGGAAAUAAGAAUUGAACUAUUUAAUGAAAUUGAUCUGAAAUGUCUAUAACAGAUAAUUGUUUUUCAUAUACUAGGGCCUCAUAAAGCUAUAUUGGUUUCUAGGCUUUGAAAGCUGCAGGGCAGAUUUGGCUGCUGUCAAAUUUUGAUUCACACGACGAAGACAUUGCCUACCCUAAUGACCCCAAAGUGCAUAUUAAGGUGGAUGAUGACCUAAAACAGCUUUUUCGGAGCAUUGAAUUGCCUCAAGACAUGAUUGAUAUAGAGAAGGAUCUUCAAAAGAAUGGAAUGAAGCCCGCAACCAACACCGCAAAGAGGAGGAGUGCAGCAGAAAUUCAAGGCAUUCCUUCCAAGUCCAAGCCUAAGAAGAAGAAGAGGGAAAUUAGCAAGAGAACCAAGCUGACCAACACCCAUCUUCCGGAGCUCUUUCAGAACUUAUUCAAUUCCUGAUCAACUCGAAUCAGAGUUUUAGAUUAGUUCACAUAGAUAAUUUGUUAGCCUAACCUAGAACAUACUAGUGAAAAUGAUUAAGGAGGUUCUUAUUUCCCUACUGUUGAUAUUUGUUUUUAAUUUUCAUACCUAGGCUGCAAGUAAUGGACUGUUGUGAUUUGAAACAACUCUAGCAACCAUUUGUGAAUCCGUGUAGUAUAUUAAUAGCUCGUUAAACAUUUUAAUAUCUAGGACUUCUUCUUUUUGUGGUUACAUACGGAACGAAAAACAAACGAAGGGAAGGGAAACUACUCUUCUGCAUCAUGAAAUCCCACAUUAAAAUCCAUUUUAAGAUAACAUUUUCAACAAUUAUUAUUAUUAUUCCACUGGAAAAUUCAUUUAUUUGUAUUUUUCCAGCUUGUCAAGUUUUUUUUUUGAAACAAACUUGUCAAGUUAAACAAGUGACUUUCAAAAAAAAAGUUAAAACAGAGUGAUAAGAGAGAAUAACAAUUGUAGUUGGAGAGCUCAAGACCUUAUAAACCCACAUUAGAAUAUCAUACUUCCAAUGUGGGAUACAAGACUCAUACUCCUUGCAAUUAGGUCCUAACAUCUCACCAGGCUCGGUUCCCACACGGGCUGGUUGUGCACUACCAAUUGAUAAGAAUCUUGAAAGACCGUCACCACAAAAGCUAGCGGUUGUAGUUGGAGAGAAGACCUUAUAAACCCCCAAAUUAUAAUCUAUACUUCCAAUGUGGGAUCCAAAUCCCAUACCUUGAAAUUGGGUCCUAACACAAAGCAACUCUUUGCUCAACAUUGUUUCUUUGUAUGUGGUUUCCACUUGAUUCUGAAAUAAGCAUAAAACGUCGCAACUUUCUGAGCUUUUAAGAGACUAUAACUAAUUGUCAGCGUUCAUUAGAAAAUCGUAUAUAAAUUUUUUCUGACCCAAAAAAAAAAGGGUUUCAUAAUUUAUUUCUAAAUUAUUUAAAUUUGUGUAACCAAAAAAACAUUAUUUAAAUUUGAUGUUGUAUUAGUAUUAAACAAGGUUAAUCAUUCAUUUGCAAAUUUCGCAACUUAAUAAAUAGUGGAUAAUGGUGUGUUGUAAGGCGCCAAAUUACGCGUGGUAUUUAAACGAAAGAGUGUUGUUUAUUCCUCAUCCACCCAUUUUUAUUUUCUACCUUUGUUUUCGUGACACACCUUUAUAUCUCUCUCCUUCAUCACAGAGCAAAAGAAAAUCAACAGAAAAUUUCAGAUUCUGCUGAAUCUGAAAUGACCAUGGGGUUUGGUUUUGCAAUGCAAUGCUCCUCAAGCUAUGGUGGCUACUCUACCUGUGUCUCUCCACAACCUCAUCGAUCUUUUCACGGUUAGUUACUAAGUUAGUUACUUCAACUCUCAACUCAUCUUCCUCAAUCAAUUUGAUUUAGGUUUUGUUUGGUUCAACGGAAAAUCAACGUUUCUUCGCAAUAGGUCACUACUGGAACGGAUUCACGAGCUCACGGAAGAAUCAGAGGGUGGUUCUUCGUGUUGCGGACGAGCGAAGCUCCAACUCCAACUCCAAUCUCAGUUCUCAGAAGAAAAGGUUUUCUUCGUUUCUUCGUUACUAUCAUAGUUAGCUUCAAGUUCCCCAAAUUUCUGUGAUCAUAAAUGUGGAUAUUGUUUCAAUUUCAUGUAGAAAAGUUGUGGAACAUGUUUGUCUGCUGAAAGCGAAAGGGGAUUUAUCUGAACAGGAAGAGAGUGACAUGCUUGAUCAUUUGUACACAACACAGUAUCAAAUGGGUGGCAUUGUUGCAAUUUCAUUAGGUAUUGCAUUUGCAUUCAUAGGUGUUAGCUACAUACAUACAUUGCAUUUCUAUUAUACGCAGAAUCGAUGAGCGAUGCUUGUUUGUUAAUAUGAUGAUGAUGAUGAUGUUGUUGUUGCUUGCUUCGUUAGGUCGCAUUUCUGCUGCGAAUCCUGAGAACUAUACGCAUGCCUUUGUAUAUGCGGUUUCAGGGGAAGGAAUAUCUUGAAAAGUUCUAUCACAAUCCUUUUUACUUGAAGGUUCUCGAUGACCACGUAAUGACUUACUGCCAUGUAUGCACCAACAUGUAAACACCGAUUCUCUGUUCCUUUAUUUUAUUUUUUACUUCUUUUUCUUGUUGAGUGAGACUCCUUGGUUUUAACUUUGCCCUCAAGCUAAACUGAUUUCUGUUCCAGGGAUUGAUUAAUGUGGACUUUGAAUCCCAAGUGGAUGAUGACAUGCUUUCUAUAUUUCGCAAAGGAGAGGUUGGAACUCACUUAACUUCCUCUUUAGGAUAUAUAUUGAAGGGUUGUCAUUAAAUGGACAUAAUUGCACCUUGGUUCUUUGUAUUUGAUUUUAUGCAGUCUCCGUUUUUCUUAUUCCAACAAUGAUUUUUUUGGGGUUGGGGGGGUGCUUUAAAUGAAUUUUGUGGUUAGGAGUUCAACCAUGGAGUAGAGUUUGUGCUUUUGAUAUCAUUCAAUGAGGAUGCAUUGGGUACCCUGGUGGAAGAUGCAUUGGCCUCUCUGGCAUCAUUGAUGUUGGAUGCUCCAUCCUUGAUUGUCCAAUUUACUCAAGGUAUGUUUCCAGUUCAACAAACUCUUAGAGCAUGUUUGGUUUAUUGAAAGUACCUCCACUUUGCUUUGGAAAGUGGGAUCCCAUAUUCCCAAGCACAAAACGUGCAAGCAAGAAUUUUGAAGGGUUGGAGCUUGGAGUUGAAUGUGGUUGGAUGUUAAAGCAAACAUUAGUUGUUUUAUUGAACUUGGUUUGUUGGCUCAUCCAAAGUUUAAUUUUUUUCUAAAUUACAUGAGGAUUGUAUGGAGAAAAUCCUUGUGUCUAAGACUCUUAAGUUUUCGUAUUCUACAUGGGUAAUUCCUAUUUAAUUGCCAGGUUUGAAUUUUAGUCCAAGCUCUAAGGAGUAUACUCAUGGAGUAGUGAUACGAUUUCGAUCAGGUAAUCUCAGUCUCAAGCUCUGUAACCGUGUUACGUCUGAUUUUCUUUCACUUGGACAUGUUGACUGGUUUUGGUGCAUGAUGGCAUGUUUUGCAGUUGAAGCAUUUGAGAUAUUUAUACGCAGCAAAGAGUAUAAAGAUGUAAGGACCCAACAUAUUGUUCCAUACACAUUUUGACAACUUCCCUUGGGUAGUUAUUUGUUAUACACCUUUUGGUCUGAACUCUGAAGUACCAUACAUUUAAGAGACAGAUGAUAUCUUCACUUUCAUGCCACUUCUAAAUGUUUCCCUUUUCAGUAAACAAUAUAAUAUAGAAAAUUUGUUUGGGAUCAUACUAUCAAUUUCGUCAUUUUGUCCUCGAAAAUGACAACAAUCUAGUUUGUUGGCUGACACUCUCAUUUUUACUUGGACAUUUGUCAUUUUGAUUAUAUUAAAUUAUGAACUUAUAAUGAGCAGAACUGAAAUAUAAUUUCUUAAAGAUAAAUAUGUUUUAGAAAACUUAACUAGUACACCGUUGGUGACAAUAUCUCAAGGAGAACAAGCAUAUCAAGAAUGUAAAUUAUAUUUGGAUUUGGAAAACAGGUUUGGAGAUCUAAGUUCCAGACAAUUGUCCAGAAAUCAUUAUCUCUUCAUUUCUCUGUUGAUCCAGUGGGAACUGAGAUUAUGUAGUGAGGAUGAUUCAUGGUAAUUUUUUGCUAUUUACCUACUUGGCAUAUAUGGAAGUGACAUACAUAUUUCUCAUAUUUUGUUCCAAAUGCUUGCAGGUUUUCAACAAAAGAUGCGGCUUGGUUUCCUCUUCUUUUCAGGAACAGGGAUGAAGGUUAUUUCCUGCUUUCUAUUUCAACUCAUGUUCUUUUGCUAUGAACUAUAACUAUAGUAUUGGUGUCCACUUUAUUUUCUGCAACAUUCUGAAACUUAAAUUCCAUAUGUAAUUUUUUUUUUCAAUUACCAAUUUAUCCCGAUAGCCAUGAGACUAAUUCUCUGAGACUCCGAGAUCACAUUAAGUAGGUAAACCUCAUAUGAAGUUUUUGUUGCUUAUUUAUAUGUAUUUUCUUAAUACUCAACGCGUCUGGACCUACUAUCUGCAUAAUGCUUCGCUUCGAUUUUGCUAUGCUAAUGUCAAAAUUAAGCCUAUGAGUUGCUCUUUGUAUUCUCCCUAAAGAUUUUUGUAUUAAAUGUAAUAAAAUAGAUUUUAUGGACUUAUGCUAAACUCAUAGUAGGGGUGGCAAAUAGAUGGAUUUGAAUAUGGAUUGUAAUGGAUGAGUCAAGAACAAUUGAUCUCUUUGUAUUCUCCCUAAAGAUUUUUGUAUUAAAUGUAAUAAAAUAGAUUUUAUGGACAUAUGCUUAACUCAUAGUAGGGGUGACAAAUAGAUGGAUUUGGAUAUGGAUUGUAACGGAUGAGUCUAGAACAAUUGAGUGUUUGUUUGUUUUUUGGUUCAACUCAGUUGUAACGUGAUUCCACGUAGGAUUCCCGAUUUCCAAAGCAAGUUGGCUGAACGAAACUCACUUGUCAAGUUGAUUGAACGUACUUUCACGUUCAGUCCAACUGUUAUACAAACGCAGUCUGAGUAACCCAUCAAGGAUUCUUUUUUUUUUGUCAAUAGGAUUCAUUUAAAUUGUUUCAAAAAAUUCAAUCAAUCUAUCAUCUAUGGCCCAUUUAAUAUAAUCCAUCCACCUCAUCCACGAAUGGUUUUUUAAUGGAUGAACACGACAGAACCCUCCAAACCUUCAAACUUGUGUGCUAAUUCGGGAGAUAGAUAACCCUCCAAGCCCUGAAGCAUGUGUGCAUAUUGUCCUAUGUCAAUUUAUAUACGAUGAUAACUCAAGAAUUUUGAAAAAAAAAAAUACAAAACGUAAUGAAAUAUAAUAAAAUACUUUUUAUUGGUUUAAAUAAGAAAUAUAUAUAUAUAUAUUUUGAAAUGUUUCAUUUAUAAUAUUUAUUCUCAUGUGAGUUUUUACAGUAAUUUAACCGUGACUAAAGUAUAUAGUAUCAAUAUUUUAUAAUUCCUAUACGACACAUUUUUGCUACUCACAUUACCAUGCUUUUAUAGGAGGACAUACCCAAUUAGAUUUCCCACCCCGUGUUUUAGAUUUCCCACCCCAUUUAAAAGUGGGGAAAAACCAAUAUUGUCCCUCCGUGUUUUAGUCCGAAACUUCAACCUUCGGAUCAGUACGAAACUUCAUCCUUCGGAUUAGUAUGAAACUUCAACUUCUGGACACCUCUGACAGAUUCUACCACCUUUUUCAGCACCAUUACUCCAUAGCUUCACCUACCUCACCACCAUUAUGACCUGCAUAAACUCCUCAACCACCCAACCACCCCCCAUUUAUGGCUGAACACACUGUUUGGAU